GACGGGCCACUGUAAAACUUUUCGCAUAAAUGACUGAUGGGAAACAUAGCAAGACAGGGAACAGUGCAUCUGAAAGCAGCAAUGUGCACAAUGCAAGCCAGAGUAUUUAUGAGGAGAGGAUGGAUUGCAGAGCAAGCUGUUGCUGGGGUUGCAAGGACGACCACGUUGAAGCCAAUGUAGCUGGUGGCAAAGUCUGCUGAAGCUGCCUUAGCAAUUUAAUCAUUCGGUUUGCAGUCUGUUCAGUUGCCAGAUCCUUACCAGCACAUAGAACCUACACGAAUAAUCAUAACCCUUAAAGUAAAUAUUCUGGAAAGCUUGAAAACAUAUUACAAAAAACAUGCAUUUAGUGGAGUCAUCUGAUUGCCUGUAUUGUUUAAGAUAUCAAUUAGAAGAGAAAAAGAAAGCCUAGAUUUAGGUUACAGUUAUACUAGUUCGUUAAUUAGUCCCUAAAUCUUGCCACAACGAAAAAAUGGCUCAAUUGACCAGGGUGUGCACAUAUCUGUACCAUACAAUAAAUGAUGUGCCUAUAAUUGUUCACCUCAAUAAUAAUCAGUACAUAAGAUACAUAUGUUCAAACUGAUGAAAUAGAAUAUUGAGAAAUGUAUUAAUGAAAAAACGUCGAUUUUGAUCAUGAUAUAUGACACAGAAAUAUAGCUUAAGAGUGCUAAUUUAGUUUCUAGAUUACAAACCUCUGCAAACACUGCAACAAUUUUGGGAAGAUACUGAUUGUUGGGACCCAAAAGUUCCCGAUCAGACCUGUAGAUGGAUUACAAGGGUCACCUCUAUGAAUUUGUUUGUAAUGAUAUUCCGAAAGUUUAAUAUAUAAAAAGGCAACAAGUAACAGAACAAGGCACAAGUAAAAGAAAAUUGAAGCUCUACCUCUCUACCAUAGAACAAAGUUGGUCAUGAACAACUUUGGCUUCAACCAAGUCUCCUUUAAUCGGUAAACAGUUCAACCAUGCAGGAAUGACCUGCAAAAUGCCAGAAGGUUGACAAUCCAUACCACUCCAAAAUAAUAAUAAUAAUAAUAAUGGAACCAAACAAAGAAAGAUAUUAUUAAUCUUAAAAGUGAUAGUUGGCAAGAUAGGUUAGUAUUAAACUAUAGCGUUGCACUAAAUUGAGGAACGUGCACACAAAAAAGGUAUUAGAGAGCACUGCAUAGCACAGUAGUCGUAUACUCAUAAUCAAGACUCUUUACUUUUGUGCGUAUAUUCCAUAACACCACCAAUGACAGAAUUUCUGAUCAAACCAUAUGACAACAGAGAAAAUAAAAGUUAGUACCUGAGCUGCAUCAAUACUGUCACGGUGGAAUUGGCUAAUUUUUCCUAAAGCAGAAACAGCAUUAUCAUAUGCCAUUACAUUUUCAGAUUGUUGGGCAUUAGGAUGCUGAAUCACAGCGUUCAGCCUUGAUAGAGCCUCUAUAUAAAGCCACAAGCAAAUAUUACUCACAAACAUACAUAAUUGUUUCAUCUAUUUAAGAUAUGCAAGCAGAAUUACCGCCAACAAGAGGUUUAAUUAUUGCUCCACCAAACUCUGAACAAAUACCAAGUCCAUAUACAGCUGCCUAAAAAAAUAAAAAUAAAACAAAAACAACCACUUAACACUAAUGUGGAUGAGCAACCUGAUACAUAUUGAAACAGUUUGUUGAGAUCAGACCUGUCGAACAUCAGGGUUUUCGUCAUUGCAAGCCUCCAACAGAAAAGGAAGAAAUGUGUCAUAAUAUCUGAUCCAACCAAAUCAUAACCAAAUAUGAGUACAGAAUAACAAGAACUACUUAAAAGUAAAACCUGAACGUUUCUAUUAAAAAAACUUACUUUACAGCUGCUUCACGACACUGCUCUGCUACUUCAUCAAAGAUGCAUAUUGCAAUCCUUCUCUCUUCAGGUGUUUUAUCCUUGGCCUGUGUUUAGAACCCGAAAUGAAUAACAUAGUUGAGAUGACAAACAACUUAGCUCAAACAUAAUGGCUGACAAAAAAAAUUAACAUUCUACUUCCUCGAAGUGAAGCUGUCUAAGGAGCGUUCGAGUAAACAUAAACAACUAAAAUCCUAAAGUUGGAACAGAACAAAAAGGCUGCACCAGUGAGACGAAACUUACCCACAUAGGUGUUAAAUACGAUGAUAGCUCAUCAAAGAAAGGCAAGAAAGAGGCUUUAAACGUUUUAAUCAAAGUUCCAAUGAUUUCUCCCACCUGAAACAAUUAAAAAAUGUGUUGAAGAGAACCAGGACAAAAAGUCCCACACUGCAUAUGCUGGCCCAAAAAUUAAAAAAUCAGUAAUAUUGUUGAAGAGCUACCUAGAGAUUGUGUUAAAAAAACUCACUUGAUCAAAAACUUCUUCCUCUUGUUCAUUUUCCUCUUUAAUUAGCUCCUGUUCCUCAGCAUCAAAGUCUUCUGCUUUGGUCCUUUCUGCUCUCUCUCUUUUUCUACUAGAACUGGCAGUGAUCACCUGCUUUAUCUCCUCCACGAUGGAUCUCACCUGGCCUUCAUCUAAAAGUGGUCCAGAUGUCUGAAAGCAAAGAUACAAGGCGCAUGAAUGGGGCCAUACUCAAAAAAUGAUGCACAAUAUAAAAAUGAAAACACGAAAACAAAUUUGUCUUUUGAACAAAGCUAAUUCUGAUUAACUCAACAAAACAUUUCUCCCAAAACAGUUCGCUCAUUCACUGCUUCCGUGCAAACAAAAAUGAAGGAUUGGCUACUACAAAACAAAUUAAUUAGCACUAUACUGCAGUGACUGCCAGCAUUUCCAAGUUCAAACCCAAAAUCUAAAAGGCAGAGAUUUAAUUAUAAAAGUUUUUUCAAAUCAAACCAAUGAUUUUCACUAUACUGCAGUGACUGCCAGCAUUUCCAAGUUCAAGCCCAAAAUCUAAAAGGCAGAGAUUUAAUUAUAAAAGUUCUUUCAAAUCAAACCAAUGAUUUUCUUCUGCAAUGAAAAGAAAAAAAAACAGAAGUGGCAUAGCAUGGAACAUGAUUAGCAUCCAGUACUCCAUUAAAAAUUUAACAUUUCUAAUCAUGAGUGUAUUGACAACUUCCCUACAACGAAAAAUAUAGCAAUUCCAGCACUACUGAAUUGGUCAGUUGGUGCGGAAUAAGUGCAAAAAGUAAAACAAACAGGGGCACAACGGAAAUUCACAAAAUUUCUUAAAAGAAUAAACGACGAACCUGUAAGCAUUCAUUUAAUGCAUCCAAUAUAUUCGCACAGAUUUCAGUAUCAGGUUCCUGCACACAAAUUGCAAUCUCAUACUUCAGAGAACAUAUAAAUCAUUACACCAUGAUCAAGGAGGCUUAAAUGAAAAACACUGAACAACCUUAUGUAAUGCUUCCACCAGAGCUGGAACAAUGUAGUCAGACAAUUGCUUUAUAUAUGUUUCAUUACGACCUUGAGCUUGGCCUUUCUCUAUUGCCAACUUUGCAGAACGCAGUAGCUCCGGCAUUGCUAGAAACAAAAAGUAGAUAUCUCUUUAUUAAGAAACGGAGCAAACUCCAACAAAAUUUGUAGAGGAAAGAAAAUAAAAACAUUGAGUAUUAACAAUUAAUGGUACCUGAAACAGCUGCCUUCCUAACUUCUUCAUGGAAAUAAAAUUUAAGAAGUGGAACCAAAGUUGGGGCAACCUACACAAAUAUGACCUUUGUAAGUAUGCAACCAAAGUCAGACAAAAAAAAAUCAAGACACUAUUGGAUACCUGAUCAAUCCAGGGAAAGAAUCCUUCUUUCAGCUCAUCAGCAUAGCAACACAGCAUAUUGCAAGCUGUAGCUUUCUCCUCCAAGACACUAGUCUUGAUUCCAAUCCUUUUAUCCCCAAGAGUAAUUGUUUCCAUACUGUAACACAAAAGCAGCUUUUAGCAAGAGAAGAAGUAACACAGAGCUACAUAACAGCACUAUUUCCAGAUCUUGAUAUCUUUUACACACACCAAAACUACACCUCAAACACUCUAAAUCAGUACAUAGGUAACUUAACCAGAUAAUUAUCAAGAAUAGAAGCAUAUAAAAAAGUUGAUGUGGACGUUAAAGCCACUGGUUAUCCAUGCAGUGAAAGUUUCUACACUAGAUUCAGGUACUUACAUAUCAAACUUUAGGAAGGAUACCAAGAAAUAGGUAGUGAUGCAACAUUUGAGAUAUCUUACAUGCCCGUUGGUAUUGAACUUACGUAAAAAGGGAAAUGAGAAAAGUUUCGGACCUAUCAUCAUCAGAGUCAUCAAUAUCAUUUUCGUCAUCUGCAGAUGUGAUGGUUACAUCUGGCUUAAGUUGAGCAGAUUGAAGCAAAGGAGGCAUUACAACACUCAUGUAUGGGAGGAAAUCUUGUCCUAAGCACUUGCAGAGUCUAGCCCAGGCCUACAACAUUGUAGAUAAGUUUUUAUUGUAAACAAUAAGCAUUAGUAUAGUAAUUUUAGUGCACUUAUUAGACAAAGGCAUACUUGUAACAUGUAACUUGUAGUUGGAUCAUCUGUCUCCAUGUGAGAUCCUUGCAAAGCCAUCAGCACUUCCAUGACCUUCAGAGAAACAGUAUACACCAGUCUGUGAUUAGAGAAAUUGGCAGCAGCUUUUUUCUAUUAGGUUUUUAGAUUGGCCAAAAUGGCAGCAGCAUGUUCACAGGUUGAAAGACUCAGUUUUUAAUCUCCCAACUGAUAAGCAGAAAAGAGCUGAAGCGUAUAACUUGAGCAAAGGAGAGUGCAUAAGAGGAAAAGAAAAGGUCAAUUUCCGAAUUUUGACAAAAUCAAAAUUCUAUUGGGGGUAAUUAAGGUAGGAAAUGGUUCAAAAUAACAAAAUAUAGAUCUGCAUGAACAAGCACCUUAAAAAAUAACAUGAAACCAUCAUCCAUCAAAUAGCCAUUCAUAUCCCAGGUCCAAUAAAGUAAACGUAGUUUCAAAUGUAUAAUGCCUUACCUGCUUAGCAUCUUCCCUGAAUUUCUCUUUUCCAACUGCCAUUCCAACCAAACUAAUACACUCCAUCGAUUUGGCACGAAGCAUGCGAUUAGACUUAUCAGUGGCAUUCACCAAGAUAGCUUUCAGGUAAGGCAUAACUGCAUCAUAGUAUUUUUGAAAAUGCUCCUACACAUCCCAUUACCAUCAAACUUAAUCAUCCAUAAAAAUAAAAUAAUAAUUUCAUGUAUAAUAUCACAUAAUAUAGUACAAUACCUGAGAUGAAUCAGCAACGGAUGCCAAAGCAGUCAAGGCACCCUCUUGUACCAUUUGUUUUCCAUUCUGCAUGAAAUGUGAAAUAUCAGACACAAUUAAUAUAUACUAGUUCAAAAGCAUGUAAUUAAGUAAAGUUUUACAUCAUGAAAUGGGUGUUUGUACAUAUAUAUAUACAUAAUCUUGAGAAGCAUUACCUGCAGAAGUACAAGCAAUUUGCUCACUACUCCAUCCAAAUAUGGAGUUAAAAUAUCCGGUGUGCAAUUCUCACUGAAAUUCAGCACUGCUGAAGCAGCAUGUGCCUGCAGAUAGCAAAUUACAAAAAAGGAAGCAAUGAAUAGAUAAUCUUGCACAUUUAAUUACAUUAUCUUGAUAAUGAGCUGAGUAAAGCACAUUCGCAAAUGAUCACUAUCCUCCAAAUUCAGAAAAUAAAGAACCUCAUAUGGAGGAUACCUUGCAACUAUAGAUGCCAAUGGUAGCUCACAAGUCAGAACAAAAGGCCAACGAUUAGUUUUCAACUGUACUUUUCAAAAAGUCCAUACUUCAAAAAUAAAUGUGACAACAUUCAACCACAAACAUGCAGUCAAGCACAUAUGACUUUUGCGUGGACUCAUUCAAACAUCCCAUUAAUCAGAAACAGAAAGUGAACUAAAUAAGUAACGGCUCUCCUGAAGUCAAGGACAUAAGAUGACCAGCAACUUAGAACAUUAUACACACUAGAAUGCUCUACAGUACACAACUUGUAAAGAAUCCCUUAAGAUGAGAAAGUGCCAGUCAAUAUUAGUCUUGUGGUCACCCUCUAGAGCAUGAUGAAGGUGACCUGCAUUGCAGGAUACAAAUCCAUACCAUUCAAAUAAUGAAACUGAAUAUCAAGUCAAUUAUUUAGAAACAGGAUCGGAUGCUACGACCAGGUACUAACCUGAACACGAGGGUUCUGAAAAUCAUCCAUAGCUCCAGCCAAUGCCGGGAGCACCCGUUGGUGAUAUUGAACUUGCAGAUCUGGGCCCAAAUCAGUAGACAACUGCCCAAUUGCAUUUAUCGCUGCCCACCUUACACGAGGAUGUGGAUCUUGAAAUGAGUUCAAGACCAUUGCUACCACUUGCUCCAAAUUUUUAAUCAUUACCUGCAAAUAAAAUAAAAAUGAAGGGAACAGAUUAAUGGUCGUCAUGAACAAGAAGGUAAAUGGAAAUUCAUUUACUAGAAAGCUGCAUAAAAGUACUUUAUAGCUGUACUAUUCACUUAAUAAAGGAUAUAAAAGUUCCCCCUCGGAAACUGCAUAGUAGGAAUAUACAAUCGCUUAUGUAAGAUGCAAACAUCUUACAUAAGUGUAUUGUAUCUGGCCUGAAAGCUUUUCAUUCAUAUUGUGCAAGUGUGAAUGUGACUAUCAAACCGUACAAACAUUGAAUAAUUUCAAACGAAUGUUUCUCAUUACAUCUCUAACCCGUUAUCCAUUCAAAUUCACACAAUAGCACAUUCAACACAAGUAAAAAACCUAGGCUCUUUUAUUACCCAAACUCAACUCUAUUACUUCAACAGAAAAGGCAUGUUAAGCAUUCCAAAUGUGGUUAAAGACGGAACCAUGAAAAAUUGGACAAGCAACUCUCCCAAGCAUAAUGUCUCUAACUUAUGACAAUCAGUUAACCUGGAUAUACAAUCUCACAAAUAAUUGCACACCUAUUAAAAUAAAAAUUGAUACCUUGGCACAACCCUCAGCAAUCUGAGCCAGGGCAAUCAAUGCAGCAUGGUGCUUCUGCCACUCAGGGGCAGCCAAAUAUGCAGGCAAUUGCUCAGACGCCACGGGAACAAUGGUAUUCCCACCCAAGGAUAUGGCAAGCCUAUCCAAACACUCCUGCCCAACACUGUAAUUACCAGUCUCACCCGCAUCCUCAUCUUCACUCUCUGCCGCAUGCCAUGCCGGUUCGUCCUCAAUAUCCAGAAGCAUUUUCAUUAAAAUGGAAAACAAUCGGCUUAUAAACUGCGGCAACUUCCUCAUCAUGCCAGGAGCACGCUCUCGGGCCUCGGCCAGAGUGAUGACGAACUCAAUGGCCAAGUGCCUUGUCGCUUCUUCCAAUGAAUCGGCCUCAGCAAUCUGUAACAUUGCCCCAACGACUUCCACAAUCUGCCGCCUCAGGAACCUCGGCUCGGUCCCAGCCAAUUCAAUCAACAAUUCAAGAGCGUCCUGCGCGGUGGCCUCGUUCCCGUUGUUCAGAGCCUCCAUCAACGUCUUCAUCAUCGCUGGCAACAGGUCCUGAAACCUAUCCCUAUCCGCAGAGCUGGUCAAACACUGAAUGAAAUUGAUGACAGCGUUCAAAGCCGCGAUCUUCACGUCAGGGCUCGGCGAAUUCCCCAGGCUAUGCAAGAACACGGCGUGCAAUUCCUUUAUGUGCGGCACCAUGGUGUCGCCGAUGUACUGCGAUAACUGAGCGAAUAUCAAGAACGCCGCUUCUUGAAGCUUGGGCGAAUCGGACGAAACGCACUGGAACAUAAAGGGCAAGAGCUCCGGCCACCCGUUAUCCGGCAAAAUCCCGGAGGCCAGCUCGGAAAUCGUAUCGCAUAGCUUCUUGGAGAUGGAUUUCGUGUCCUCCUGCUGAAUACACGUGAGCAGAAUCGUCUUCAGCGUCGAUUGGGUCGUGGGAUUCAAUCGGGGCCAGAGGUAAGAGUCGUCGCGGGUGAGCUGCUUGCGGAGGAGAAUCGCGGACAUGGCGCGGGCCUCGGCGGCGGGGCAGAACUGGAGGAGGUGGGCGAGCUUGAGGGAGAGGGAGUCGGGAUCGGUCUGCUUGCAGAGGUUGAAGAGGAGCUCGGCCUGGGAGCGCUGCUCGUUGGCGGAAGACAUGAGGUGGGAGAUUAGGGUCUGGAAAGGGGCCGGGUCGGGGCCGAGAAUGGUCGCCAGUUGGGCUUGCUGUAAGUGAGUCGACUCGGCCAUCGGAAUUAGGGUUUUUGCGUGCUCUGCGCCGGGUGUGGAUUGGAGUCACUGGUGAACCCGCGAAGAGAAGAUGCCCUUUCUCUCACUUUCUCUCUCUAGACUUUUGAAUCAAAUUAAAAGUAGGGAUAUUUGGGGAGUUUAGGGGUGCGGGAGGAGGGUGCGGGGGAUUAAAGUAGGAGCGGGAGCAGAGGAGUGGGGCUGCUAAAUAAAGGAAGAAAUGCAAGGAAUUAUCCAAUGGAUGAUUAGCUGGGCGUGGGUCAGUUAUCAAUCAUGAUUCAUGACUAUAAUUUUCCCACCAAAUUUAUUUUUGGAGGGAAGGGAGAAGGGGCUCAUUUUUUGUAUAGUUAAUAGUAUACAAUAAUGAUAAAAUAAAGUUAAUGAAUAAGAUUUGAAAACUUGAAUUUUAACGAUAAUGAUAAAAUAAAGCGUAAAGUUAAUAGUAUCAUGAUUGAAUUUUUAGUGUAAAAAUAUGAAUUUUUUUUUAAAUAAACAGUAACAUAAAUUUUUCGUUAAAAUUUUAUAAAAUCAUAUAUUGGAAUUUUAUUAAUUACCAAAAAAAAUAUAAUUUCUGUGGAAAAUAGUUGGGCCAACUGGUUUAUAAAGCAAAGCCCAACUUUUUCAUAAAGUCUCUUUGAUUGGCCGUCCUCCUAAUACUGAAUUUUUAAUUGUUUUCUCUUUUUUCAACAAAGCAAAACAAUAUUUUGAGUUAAAAAGGAAAGGAUUUCUAAACAUUUAAUUUCUCCUCAAUAAUAAUAGGUCUUAAAACGAAAAUGAAAAACCGAAACGGAUUUGAAAUUUUUAAAUUUCGGGGCGAAAUUGUAGAGAGGGGAAAUGGUUUAGGAUUUAGUAUUUAAUAAACCUUCCUUUCUAGUUUCUUUCUACUCCCAGUUUAAUUGCCUCCACCUCCACCGCCACCAGUCCACCUCCGCAGACCAACCAAUUUCAGUUAAUUUCGUGCUAUUCCGUCAUCGCAAUUGCCUGAUUUCUGACAUUAGAAAUGUGUUCUGGAACGGAGAUGGCAAGGAGCCAGCGGACAUUGAGUCCCUGCUGCGGGAACGAUUCAAGGCUAAUGAACCUACCCGCCGAUGUCCUUGACGACAUCCAUUUGAGACUGCCCAUAACCUCUUUUUUUGGCCUCCGAUGUGUCUCUAAGACCUCAACGGAUAGAGUCGACUGCCCCAGUUUUUGUACACUGCACACGCAACGUUUCAUCAUCUAUUUCUUCUGCUCAGGUACCUCUGCUAAUGCAUGUGGAUCACUUUUGCCUCUCUAAUUCUGGAUUUACCUUUAGACCAUUGCAAUUCAAAUACGAUGGCAGCAACACCACCUUGACAUGGAGCGAACAUGGUCUACGAGAUUAGAUCCACUUCCUUCAAUGCUUUUUAUUCUUUGGCUUCUGUUUUCCACAACUUGUUUUUCUUUCGGGAUCGCGCUUAUAAUUAUCCAGGGCGCAAGAGGAUGGAUAGGAUAGGAGUCCAUGCUUCUUAUUCAAUCCUUUGAAGGGGGAAGUUCUUCUGCUCCCCACAACUGACAUCUUCAUUCCAAACUAUGUUACAAGAUAUUCCAUCAUCACGGUUGAGGAAUGGUUUGCUAUGGGAUUUGAUGAUGCAACCAACACUUACAAGAUUGUUCGUGUUUCCGGAGAUCAAAAAUCGACGAUAUGUAAACUCGUGACCCAAAUUUAUGUAAUGGGCACAAGCUCGUGGCGAGAGAUACCCUCGUUUCCACCCUGUAAUUUAAGCGACAGCCGCGCAUUUGCAUACGGAGACCAGCAUUGGUUAGUUUGCUUACCUGAUCCUUCACUUUCCAGUUAUGGAGGAGUAGUUAGCAUAUGUUCUUUCAAUUUCAGAAAAUAAGAGUUCUACUGGAGGACCAUUCCCCUUCCCGAGCAUAUGCACAAUAAGUAUGUUCGGUGCAUGGGGAUCCCAAAGCACCUUCAUUUGCUUAGUCUAAGAGGCUCGUUGGCCAUCGUGGACACUUCAUCUGAUGACUAUAAUAUUGAGAUAUGGGUGUUGAAAAAUUAUGACAAGAAAGAGUGGAAUCUAGAUUACAAGAUAGACAAGUCAGUACUCAGAGGCAAGAUGAUGAUGAACUUGAUAUGUUGUGAAUGGGAGCAUGGCAUAUACUUUACUCACCCACGAUGUCAUUAAGUUUGUGAGAGAACAUUCUUUGUGGAUUUAAGAUGUGGUUCCGUGAAUCGCGUUGAAUUAUUUCCACCUAGAACCAACAUAUUCGUGAGGAUUUCAAGCAUAUUGAGUUAUACUGGGACUUUGAUUUCCCUAAAAGAGUAUGGGAGCUUGGUUGAAACUGAACCAACAACUACGGGACAGAUUAGGUCUCUAGAACUUUAUGAUUCUAGAGAAAUCUGGGAUGAAGCUGCAAGAGGGAAGGAUUUCAUUUACUUGAAAAGUAGCGCUAAGCGCCUAUAUAGAUUUGAAUAAAUACCCAACUCUCGGCAACUUGUCAAUGGUUUUAGUGGCUUAUUUGGUUUUUGUGUAAUCUUUUUGUAUUUUUGCAUUUUUUUUCUGCAACGCCAGAUUGAAAAUUUUCCAUCUAGUCCUUAUGCCUGGACGUAUUUUCCUUAUAAAUGAUAAAGAUGUUCUUCUCAUUUAUGCUGAAUGUGUUUUUUAAACUGUUGUUAUUAGAGUAUCACUGUAAACCGUUAUUGAUGGUUUAACAGGGGGAGGGUAUCAUGGUUUCAGUUUCUCCCUCGCGAGGGGGCAAAAUUGCUCUGUUGAAGUUACACUUGGCUGUCCUAGACGGCUAGACCUGGAAUGCAGUACAACUCAAAUUCGUCAAGGAAUGCAAUAAAGCUUAACCUUGCUGAAUCUCCUCCCUUAGGGAGAGGUGGUCAGAAUUAUUCAAACCUUUUUUUACUCCAUUUAAGCAUGAAUUUGCAUAUUUUCGCUGCAGAAUUGGGUUGGACCCUUCACACCUGACUCACCCUUUUUUAUGAUUUGGUUAAUAACUUAUUAUCUCCAUUUAAGUAUUUCUUGAGUUGAGAUAUUUUUAUUUCCACGUAGUUUAAUUUGUUAUGAGGUUCCAUACACACUGACAAGUUAACAUAAGCUUGCAUUUCUUUUAGAAGAUUGAAGUGUGUUUCUAUUUUCAUCAGUUUUGCAUACAACAGUUAGAUAAAGCUGCUUAUGUACCAUUCUUAUGUCACUUGAUCAUCACAAGACUUUGGAUGCCUUGCAUUUGCACCAUGUAUAUUAAUUCAACAUUCAACAGUCAACAUUCAGACAGAGUGAGCUGGUUACAAGUCUCAGUAUUAUCUUUAAAUUGUCAACUAACUAUGCAAUUACACAUUCAACCAAUACGACAGUUAUAUAACUGAUGAUGAAAAGACGAUACAAAACACAUGGAUGCCUAAGACCCUCGAGGGCCUUAACUAGACCAAACCUAUCUGAUGAAAGGACGAUACAAACUCAUGAGUCGCUAACAUCCUCAACGGCCUCAACAACUCUUAAUUGACGAAGUCUACCUAAAUCAAUUUCAAAGAGCAUCCAAAUCUUUCAACCAUAAUGAUUUUGCACUCUCAUGUUUCAACUCAUAUAACUUCUCCUUGCUCUUAUCCCGGUCAUCUUUAAUAGCAUCACGCCCCUCUACACUGAGCGUCUCAAAAUCUAUGGAUGUUAAAAACUUAUAACGUUUUGUAGCCUUAGUUGGUGCACCAUCCUUGAAGUGAUCCAGAAAUAAAUCUUUCUUUUGUAGCUCAUCAUUCAACUCACCCUUCCUUUUCGGUACAUAGAUAAUAUUGCCUUCAACAUCUUUAUUUGACUUUACUAUGCUUAUCUUGUUUGCAUGCAUGUAUGCUACAAAUUUAAGCUUAAGCUCCAGUAUAUUUACCUCUUCUUCCACUUUAUUUAGUAAUGCUUCCUGCGUAAAGUACAGAGAACUAGUUAAUGGUUGCAUCUUCGUAGAAAAUAUAAUAAAAACAAACAUCAACAAUAUUGCAUUAAGGUAAAAAAUAAAGUCUCCAAUCUCUCCUUUUAGUGUUGUAGUCUUAUGUCAUAGAACUCCUUUAGAACCCCAAUCAGAAAAAACAAACAGGUAAGAUAAGUUGUACAACAAAUUUGUUUGAUCAAACCAACCAAAUUGUGUUAACUUGUACUCUCUUUUGGUAUACUAUAGCAAUGAAGCUGGUCUUCUGUCUUAAUCAAGAUCAUGUUUGAAGGUGUAUCUUGGUUCGAAGCUUGAACUUUUCUUCCAAACCAACCAAAAGUUGAUUCUUUGAUGUAGUGAUAGAAAUGUCUACUUUAUUGACAUCUCCAGAAAACGUGUUGUCCUAAACCAUGCAGGUACAACACAACAUUUUAUUAUUAGAAUUUGAAUAUGAGAACAAAUUUUGAUGUGCAGCAUAUUAUAACUUUGUUAAAAACUUAUAAACUUGUUAAGAACUAGUUAAUGGUUGCAUCUUAGUAGAAAGUAAAAUAAAAACAAACAUCAACAGUAUUGCAUUAAGGUCAAAAAUAAACUCACCAAUCUCUCCUUGUAGUGUUGUGGUCUUAUGUCAUAGAACUCCUUUAGAAAUGCAAUCAGGAAAAACAAACAGGUAGAUAAGUUGUACAACAAAUUUGUUUGAUCAAACCAGCCAAAUUGUGUUAACUCAUACUUUUUUCUGGUGUACGAUAGAAAUGAAGUUGGUCGUCUGUCUUAAUCAAGUUCAUGUUUGAAGUGUGUAUCUUGGUUCGAAGCUUGAGCUUUUCUUCUAAACCUUGUGUCCAUGCAGCCAAAAGUUGAUUCUUUGACAUAGUGACUAAACCUUAUGUCCUUGCAACCAAAAGUUGAUUCUUUGACAUCGUGACAAAAAUGUCUACUUUAUUGACAUGUCCAGAAAAUGUGUUGUCCUGAAUCAUGCAGAUGCAACACAACAUUUUAUUAUUAGAAUUUGAAUAUGAGAACUAAUUUUGAUGUGCAGCAUAUUGUAACUUUGUUAAAAACUUAUCCUAGUCAUCUUUAAUAGCAUUAGGCCCCUCUACACUGAACAUCUCAAAAUCCAUGAAUGUUAAAAACUUAUAACGCUUUGUAGCUUCAGUUGGUGCACCAUCCUUGAAGUGAUCUAGCAAUAAAUCUUUCUUUUGUAGCUCAUCGAUCAACUCAGCCUUCUUUUCGGUACAUAGAUAAUAUUGCUUCAAAGUCUUUGUUUGACUUUACUAUGCUUAUCUCGUUUGUAUGCAUGUAUGCUACAAAUUUAAGCUUAAGCUCCAGUAUAUUUACCUCAUCUUCCACUUUAUUUAGUAAUGCUUCCUAUGUAAUGUACAGAGAGAACUAGUUAAUGAUUGCAUCUUCGUAGAAAGUAUAAAAACAAACAUCAACAAUAUUGUAUUAAGGUAAAAAAUAAACUCUCCAAUCUCUCCUUGUAGUGUUGUAGUCUUAUGUCAUAUAACUCCUUUAGAACUCUAAUCAAGAAAAACAAACAAGUAAGAUAAGUUGUACAACAAAUUUGUUUGAUCAAGCCAGCCAAAUUGUGUUAACUUGUACUCUCUUUUGGUAUAUUAUAGCAAUGAAGCUGGUCGUCUGUCUUAAUCAAGUUCAUGUUUGAAGUGUGUAUCUUGGUUCGAAGCUUGAACUUUUCUUCCAAACCUUGUGUCUUGGCAACCAAAAGUUGAUUAUUUGACGUAGUGACAUAAAUGUCUACUUUAUAAACAUCUCCAGAAAACGUGUUGUCCUAAACCAUGCAGGUACAACACAACAUUUUAUUAUUAGAAUUUGAAUAUGAGAACAAAUUUUGAUGUGCAGCAUAUUGUAACUUUGUUAAAAACUUAUAAACUUGUUAAGAACUAGUUAAUGGUUGCAUCUUAGUAGAAAGUAAAAUAAAAACAAACAUCAACAAUAUUGCAUUAAGGUCAAAAAUAAACUCACAAAUCUCUCAUUGUAGUGUUGUGGUCUUGUGUCAUAGAACUCCUUUAGAAAUGCAAUCAGGAAAAAAUAAACGGGUAAGAUAAGUUGUACAACAAAUUUGUUUGAUCAAACCAGCCAAAUUGUGUUAACUCGUACUUUCUUCUGGUGUACUAUAGAAAUGAAGCUAGUAGUCUAUCUUAAUUAAGUUCAUGUUUGAAGUGUGUAUCUUGGUUCAAAGCUUGAACUUUUCUUUUAAACCUUGUGUCCUUGCAGCCAAAAGUUGAUUCUUUGACAUAGUGACAUAAAUGUCUACUUUAUUGACAUCUCCAGAAAACGUGUUGUCUUGAACCAUGCAAAUGCAACACAACAUUUUAUUAUUAGAAUUUGAAUAUGAGAACUAAUUUUGAUGUGCAACAUAUUGUAACUGUGUUAAAAACCUAUCCUAGUCAUCUUUAAUAGCAUCAAGCCCCUCUACACUGAACGUCUCAAAAUCCAUGAAUGUUAAAAACUUAUAACGCUUUGUAGCUUCAGUUGGUGCACCAUCCUUGAAGUGAUCUAGCAAUAAAUCUUUCUUUUGUAGCUCAUCGAUCAACUCAGCCUUCUUUUCGGUACAUAGAUAAUAUUGCCUUCAAAAUCUUUGUUUGACUUUACUAUGCUUAUCUCGUUUGUAUGCAUGUAUGCUACAAAUUUAAGCUUAAGCUCUAGUAUAUUUACCUCAUCUUCCACUUUAUUUAGUAAUGCUUCAUGUGUAAAGUAUAGAGAGAACUAGUUAAUGGUUGCAUCUUGGUAGAAAGUAUAUUAAAAACAAAUAUCAACAAUAUUGCAUUAAGGUCAAAAAUAAACUCACCAAUCUCUCCUUGUAGUGUUGUGGUCUUAUGUCAUAGAACUCCUUUAGAAAAGCAAUAAGGAAAAACAAACAGGUAAGAUAAGUUGUACAACAAAUUUGUUUGAUCAAACCAGCCAAAUUUUGUUAACUCAUACUUUCUUCUGGUGUACUAUAGAAAUGAAGAUGGUCGUCCGUCUUAAUCAAGUUCAUGUUUGAAGUGUAUAUCUUGGUUCGAAGCUUGAACUUUUCUUCCAAACCUUGUGUCCUGGCAACCAAAAGUUGAUUCUUUGACAUAGUGACAUAAAUGUCUACUUUAUUGACAUCUUCAGAAAAUGGUUGUCCUGAACCAUGCAGGUGCAACACAACAUUUUAUAUUUAGAAUUUGAAUAUGAGAACUAAUUUUGAUGUGCAACAUAUUGUAACUUUGUUAAAAACUUAUCCUAGUCAUCUUUAAUAGCAUCACGCCCCUCUACACUGAGCGUCUCAAAAUCUAUGGAUGUUAAAAACUUAUAACGUUUUGUAGCUUCAGUUGGUGCACCAUCCUUCAAGUGAUCCAGCAAUAAAUCUUUCUUUUGUAGCUCAUCGACCAACAACCUUCCUUUUCGGUACAUAGAUAAUAUUGCCUUCAACAUCUUUAUUUGACUUUACUAUGCUUAUCUCAUUUGUAUGCACGUAUGCUACAAAUUUAAGUUAAAGCUCCAGUAUAUUUACCUCAUCUCCCACAUGAUUUUGUGCCAUUCCAACAAUAGCAUUGGCGAUAUUCCUCACUGUGGUGGUAGGAACAAUGCUCUAAAACAUAACUAGGAAACUGAGAAACUUUUUCUCAUUCGUCAACAAUUUCUUCUUAAAAGCACAUAACAUAAUUUUUCUUUGAACGCGUUUCAAUCCAUCAACCAUUGAUGGAAUUGAUCUUUGCAGAUAAUCCCUGCAAAACUCUCUAAACUCAUUUUGGAAAAAGUCACUGUAUGUUUUGAAUGUCUGUCGAGGAUUAAAAGGACUACUAGGUUGUGAAUCCACAUACUGGGCAAGCCAAUCUCUUCUAUCUUCUACUCUGUUUUUACUAAAAGCAAGAGUAAUUACAUCCUCAACGUUAUCGUCCCAAAGAUAGCAUUUCUUAUGAUCCUCAAUAUUUUCAAAAUAUUCUUUCAUUUCCUCAAGGUUGCAUGAAGCCAACCCCUAAAAGCAUGUACAUAUAUUGUACAAGAAUAAGAGUACUUAUGACAAUAUGCAUGGUGCAUGAAGAGUAAGUUGAAAACAUAAGGAACACGUACCUUGUAAUACUUGAUGGAAUAGUCAGCAACAUUGUCCGUCUCUUCUCUCCAGUCCUUAAACUCUCUGAUUGAAUAAAAUGCUCGAGAAUGAUGAUCUUGACUGCCAUCCUUCUUAAUCGCCUAUACAGAUCCACUCCAAACAUACAAGUUAAAACAAGGAAUACGUAUGUGCAUUCUUGUACUUGAUAACAAUAUUUAACUCAUAUUGAAGUUAUCUAAGCAUAUGGUAGUCAAACAAUAUAAACAAACCUUCAAAAUAGGAGUUAUAAACCCAACAAAAAGUGGUGGUCAAUUUUAAGAAGUGAGGACCAAUAAAAAUGAAAAAAAUUAAUCAAAAGCCGUUUGAUGUGGGAACCAUCAUGAUCCUACACAAACACAUACGUUAAACUUCUCAGUGGUCAUCAAGAUGAUGAUAUGCAUAUUAAAAUUGUGUAUAGGAUUUCAAAGGAUAAAACCAAAAUAAAGAUGUUUGAGGCAUCUAACAUGAUCUGCCAUGAUCAUCACCAAAUCGUAGCCUAAUGAUUUGACACCCUCACAUUUUUUGUUUUUUUGUAACCCCAAAAUCCUAAUGAUAUUGUUAACUUCCUCCUUAUUCAUAAGUUGAGCUUUGGUAGCUUGUCUUACAUUGAGCAAUUUACCUUUCAACGGAAAAACAUCAUAAUGUUGCCUGCCCAAAAAAGUGAGCCUUGUCAACUGUUUGGAAUGAAUUAUGUUAGCAUAUGUACUAUAUAGGACAAAAUCCAAUAAAUAAAUACAAAUUUUGUUGUCUAAUAUGCCAAAAUUAUGCAUAACUGCCUUAGUAGAUUUUCCUCAAAAUCAAGGUGCAAUUUGCAGAGUCUUUCCAUCCAGCUAAAUAUGUCAACCCUUUUAUUUGAAACAUUUCUUACAUAUGGCAGUACAUGUCUUCAAAAUAUCCACAAUCUAAGAUACGACCAUUGAAAAAUAAUCUGAAUGUGAGAAUCAAGGCUAAAGUAUUACAGUUAAACAAUUAAUUCGUUGCACACGUAAGAGAUAAAAGUCUUUGUGUUUAGGGUUUAAUAAUAAAUUAUUCUUCUCUCUGGGAGGUGCAUAUAUAGUUGUACAAGAGGUCCUAUAAAUUAGGAAACAAGAAUCCCACAAUGAAUCAAUCAUGUGAUCCUAUUCCUAAAAUAUAUGAUUACAUUCCUGAAAUUUAAGGUUGACUCACGCUAACACUCCCCCUCAAGUUGGUGCAUAGAUAUCUCCUAAACCCAACUUGUCAAGUGAGUCUUUAAAGACUUUUGCCGUCACUGCAUGAGUUAACACAUCAGCUAACUGUUCUUCAGACCUCACAUACGGAAUGUCAAUCAACUUAACGUCUAACUUCUCUUUGAUGAAGUGUCUAUCCACUUCCACAUGUUUUGUACGAUCAUGUUGGACUGGAUUAUUCGCUAUCUCUCUCGCUGCUUGAUUAUCACAGUGUAAUAACAUAGUUUCCCGAGGCUUGAAUCCUAUCUCGGUGAGAAGAAUCCGGAUCCAUAAUAGUUCACAAAUCCCAUGUGCCAUACCUCGAUAUUCCGCUUCAGCUGUGGACCUGGCCACAACAUUUUGUUUUUUGCUUCUCCAAGUUACAAGAUUCCCUCCCACAAAUGUAAAGUAACCAGAUGUGGAGCGACGAUCACUAAUAUUCCCAGCCCAGUCGGCAUCUGUAUACCCUUUUAUCUCCAUAUGUCCAUGUUUCUUGAAAAUCAAUCCUUUCCCAGGUGCACCUUUCAGAUAACUCAAUAUACGCAUCACAGCUGCCAUAUGAUCUUCACUAGGAGAGUGCAUAAACUGGCUUACAACACUAACUGCAUAUGCAAUAUCCGGCCUUGUGAGCGAUAAGUAGAUCAACCUUCCUACUAACCUCUGGUACCUCUCUUUAUUAGUAGGAGUUUGAUCCUGGUAUAUUGCCAGAUGAUGAUUCUGCACAAUGGGAGUCUCUGCUGGUUUACAUGCCAACAUCCCAGUUUCAGAAAGAAGAUCAAGCACAUACUUCCGCUGAGACAAGUAAAUACCAUCACGAGAACGAGCAACUUCAAUUCCCAGAAAGUAUUUCAAGCCCCCUAGAUCUUUCAUCUCAAAUUCUGCGGAAAGGUAAUUUUGCAGUCUUUUUAUCUCUUCUGUAUCAUCACCUGUAACCACCAUAUCAUCCACAUAAAUGAUCAACAAAGUAACUUUACCUCCCAUACGUUUCAUAAACAGAGUAUGGUCUGCAUUCCCUUGUUUGUAGCCAUAACUUUUCAUUGCUUGGGUGAACCUUCCAAACCACGCUCUGGGUGACUGUUUGAGUCCAUAGAGAGCUUUCAGAAGUCUACACACUUUUCCUGCUCCAUUUGGUACGUCAUAUCCAGGUGGAAAAUCCAUGUAUACUUCUUCUUCCAGAUCUCCAUGUAGGAAAGCAUUUUUCACAUCAAACUGUUUCAAUGGCCAAUCAAAGUUUGCAGCUAAGGACAAAAGAACUCGAAUAGUAUUCAUUUUUGCAACCGGAGCAAACGUUUCCUGGUAAUCAACUCUGAAUGUCUGUGUGUACCCUUUUGCUACCAAUCUUGCUUUGUAUCUAUCUAUAGAUCCGUCUGCUUUGUGUUUUAUGGUGAAUACCCAUUUACAUCCCACUGGUCUCUUCCCAUGCGGUAGUGGUACCACAUUCCAUGUUUCAUUUUUCUGUAAAGCCUCCAUCUCAACCUCCAUGGCUUCCUUCCAACGAGGAUCUUGUAAGGCUUCUUCCACUUUUGUUGGAAUCUUGAUUCCCGCCAUUUGAUUCACCAAGGCUUGAUACUUGGGUGAUAGUCGAUGUGUUGACAUAUAUUGUGCAAUUGCAUAUCUCACUUUUCCAUCCGGAGAGAACCUGUCAGGUGGUUUCCCACGAUUUUGCCUAGGAGGUAAAAUAUAAGAAUUUUCACCAAUAUCUGAAUUAUAAGAACGUACCUCUUGAAUAUCCUCGGGGACAUGAGCGUGUACCAGCAUAGGAGGAUGAGGGUUAUUAUGUGUUGGAGCUGCUACUUCGGCGCUGUCUGUUAGCCCACUUGCUAACUCACAAAUUUCAGGCCCAUCUAUGGGCUGCACAGGUGUCUCUCUCGGUGUGCAAUACCCACCGCUGCUUUUUGCAGCAUGCUCCAUCACGCAUGGGCCAGCAUCACAUGCUUCAGUGCUUGGGCUUCGGUCACCUAGGCUGACAGCGUCCUUUAUGAGCUGUCUUUCACAAGGCUGCCCUUUGCUAAGCCCACUCGAACUGCCCAAUUCAAACGGCAGAUCAAGCCACCUGUAAUCGUCAACUAUACAAUCUAUCUCCCCCUGACGAGUAGGGUGGGUUUGGUCAGUAGCAAAGAACAUCUCGGUUUCAGAGAAUGUAACAUCCAUGGUGAUGUAAAAAUGUUUAGACGAUGGAUGAUAACACUUAUAUCCCUUUUGUUGGCUAUUGAAUCCCAAAAACACACACCGAACCGCACAUGGGUCCAAUUUACUCCGUUGAUUUUUUUGAAGGUGCACAUAUGCCACACAUCCAAAAAUGCGAGGUGAUAACUGGAGAGAGGAUGGUAGAGUGACAUGAUCUGUUAGGACUUCCAUAGGGGUGCGAAAAUUAUGAACUCUUGAUGGCAUUCGGUUUAGGAGAUAAACAGAAUAGGUGACAGCAUCUGCCCAAUAGGUGUUAGGAGCAUGAGCCCCAAUCAGAAGAGCUCGAGUGGUUUCCAAGAUAUGUCGAUUCUUACGUUCCGCUACCCCGUUUUGUUGUGGAGUUUGAGGGCAAGUAGUCUCAUGCAGAAUGCCAUGCUCCCUGAAAAAUUGAGAGAGUUCGAAAUUAAGAUAUUCUCCACCGUUAUCAGAUCGGAGAACUUUAAUAGGGAGAGAAAAUUGAUUUCCAAUCAUGCGGUAAAAUUGUUGAAAGAUUUGACCAACAUCACUUUUCUGUUUCAUCGUAUAGAGCCAUGUCAUUCUAGUGCAAUCAUCCACAAAGAUAACAAACCAACGAAUGCCAUGUUGUGUAAUUAUUGGUGAAGGACCCCACACAUCAGAGUGAACUAACUCAAAAGGCAUCGUUCUUUUAUUUAAACUCAAACGGUACGAAGUACGAUGACUUUUUGCGAGAAUGCAAUCAUUACAGUGAAAAUCAGAAUCUGAUACACCACUAAAUAAAGACGGAAGUAACUUCUUCAAAUAACCAAAAGAUGCAUGUCCUAGUCGACGAUGCCAUAACCAAACUGCCUUGGUUUUAUUAUUGUUGCUGCUACGCACUUGAUUGACUCGGCCUGGAACGACGUCUUCCACAUAGUAUAACCCUCUCCUCUUAGUACCACGCCCAAUGAUCGCCCGUGUCUGGAUAUCCUGAAGUAGGCAAAAAGUAGGGAACAUUAGUACUACACAAUCUAACUGUUCCGUAACCUGACCCACCGAAAGUAAAUGAUUUGACAAUGAUGGAACAAGUAACGUGUUGUGCAGAGAUAGAGAAGGAGUAAGGGCUAUAGAACCAGCUCCCGUAACAGAAGCAAUUUCACCAUUGGCAGUAAUCACAUUCUCUUUUGGUGGGAAAGUCUUGUGGUGAAACAAUGAUGCGUCAUAUGUCAUAUGGUCGGUAGCCCCAGAGUCUAUUAUCCAGCCAGAGUCACGUUUAGUAGAUGCUAUAAGUACAGUACCGAUUUUACCUGGAUCAUUAUGUGAAAUUUGCCUAAUUAAAGACAACAUUUGAUCGGUAUCUUCAUGAACUGCUGCAGGCUCCAUUUUUCCCUCCUGGUUGUGGGCUAAUAUAUUUGACUUGGGCCCAGAUUGGCCAGCGGCCACAGCUGCUUUCCCAAGGUCAGAAUUAUGCUCUUGGUUGGAUUUAGGCCCCAUUCGGCCUGCUGCCACAACAGUCACUCCAGCUCCAGAUUCGGCCAACUUGGCCUGACUCGUGCGUCUCCCCUUUGCCUUCAAUUCCUUUUUCCUUUCCCAGUACCACUCUGGGUACCCGUGGAUCUCAAAACAAGUUUCUUCAGUGUGCCUCUUUCCAUUGCAAUGAUUGCAAUGAAGCUUGUCCUUGUCAAUGUCUUCCUGGGUACGGUUUGGACGAGGUGCUUCAGUGGCUGAUGGACGGAGGGAUGGUGACGGGGACUUGGUGAUCAUUGCCAUAGAGGAGCUUGUUGUAAUGGCUUUUGUUCCAAGCAUGGUGGUCUGUCUUUGUGCUUCACGUCUAACUAAACUGAAGCAUUCUUCAAUCGCAGGGAUGGGUUUCAUUCUUAGGAUCUCACUCCGGACUUGGUCGAAUCCAUUAUCCAGUCCGGCAAGGAAAUCAUACACCCUGUCCUUUGACAACUCUUCCUUGCGGGUUCGAAGGUCAACCGUGCAUACCAUCUUGAUAGGACGCCAUCUAUCAAGAUCUUGCCAUACUCCCUUCAGUUCUGUGAAAUAUAAAUUUACCGGACGAUCGUCUUGUCUAGUCCGUGUCGCCUUGCAUCUCAAUUCAUAAUACUGAGACUCGUCGGAUCCGUCAUAGAACAUCUGGCUUGCACUUUCCUAGAUGUCCUUGGCUGUCGGUAAAUCGAUGAAGAGACUCAACAGGUGUGGUUCCAUGGUUUUCAAUAGCCAUCCUCGCACAAUAGCAUCUUCAGUGACCCACUUGGUGUAUCCUGGAGAGUCUUCUGUGAUAGCUGGGAUUUUUCCAGUUAAAUACCCAUGCUUGCCGAGGCCUGAAGCAUGAACCUCCAUCAUCUUCGACCACACUUUCCAGUUUGUGUCAUUCAAUCUGUAUCCAAACAGAAUGCCGCUGAUGUUGGUAGGCUCAUUUGGAAUGGACAAGGAUUGGAUGGUAACCAACUCACCAGUUUUUCUUUCUUCAGCCAUCAGACCAAAUUGGUUUUUUUUUUUUUUUAAUUUAAUAAGGUUGAAUUUGAUGCAGCCUUGAUGAUUACAACGCCACAGAUUUUGGAUUCCUGGGUUCAACUUUUAAGAACACCAGAAGUUGCUUCUGAUGCAACCUUGGUUGCAGUUUGUACGUUUGUCUGGUUUUAGGGUUUGGUUUGGGAAGAGACAGGCCGAAAACCUGCUCUUGAUACCAAGAUAAAAGUCUUUGUGUUUAGGGUUUAAUAAUAAAUUAUUCUUCUCUCUGGGAGGUGCAUAUAUAGUUGUACAAGAGGUCCUAUAAAUUAGGAAACAAGAAUCCCACAAUGAAUCAAUCAUGUGAUCCUAUUCCUAAAAUAUAUGAUUACAUUCCUGAAAUUUAAGGUUGACUCACGCUAACAGUAAGUACCUUCAUUUAAGGAGUGCUUUGGAAGUGAAAAAGAAUUCCAUAAAUGAUCUUGUGCAUGGAAAUGAGAACGUUUCUUUUAGGUCAUCAAAUGAAGCAUUACUGAUAUUAGCUUUCAAAACGAUCCAUAGAUGCUUCUUCACAUCAUCAGGUGUUAGGUUGAAAUUGUGUUUUUCAUCGAUAAUAUUCACCAGAUGCUCUGCGAUCUUAUUUGCCACGAAAUCCACAAGAGGUCUACCCUUGAUUGUAUUGAAUAAAUUCACAAAGGUGACCUGGGUCAAAUAAAAAACAAUUUUCGGAAGUAUAAAAAAGGAAAAAUACCUACCCAAAUUUCAGAAAAAUCAAAGUGAUGUAAAAUAAUGGCUAGGCUAGGCUAGGCUAGGCUUAGUAAGCUAGCUAGUUAUGCGGUUAUGCAAUGAUGCAAAAUUGCAAAUGCUUUCGUCCAUUUAAUAUUGAAAAAUACUAAGAGAAAUAUCUCUACUACCUAACAGUUUAACGUUAAUUUCUAUAUUAAUAUUGUAAAACAUCACAUAAAAAAUAUAAGGUGAUAGAGAGGAAUUAAUAUGCUUAUUUUUAAAACAGCUUUCGAUGUUUACGAUUGCAUCAGUACAUAAGUUUCGGCACGAAUGUAUCGGUACAUAAAUUUCAAUACGAAUGUUGCGGUACAAUUGUAUCAGUACAUAAGUUCUAGUACGAUUGCAUCGGUACAUAAGUUUCGGUACGAAUGUAUCAGUACAUAAGUUUUGGUACGAAUGUAUCGGUACAUAAGUUUCGGUACAAAUGUACUAUGAGUAUAUAAGUUUUGGUACGAAUGUAUUGGUUCAUAAGUUUCAGUACGAAUGUAUUAUCGGUACAAUUGCAUCGGUACAUAAGUUUCGAUACGAAUGUAUCUGUAUAUAAGUUUUGGUUGGUGCACUAUCCUUCAAGUGAUCCAGCAAUAAAUCUUUCUUUUGUAGCUCAUCGAUCAACAGCAUUCCUUUUCGGUACAUAGAUAAUAUUGCCUUCAACAUUUUUAUUUGACUUUACUAUGUUUAUCUCAUUUGUAUGCACGUAUGCUACAAAUUUAAGCUAAAGCUCCAGUAUAUUUACCUCAUCUCCCACAUGAUUUUGUGCCAUUCCAACAAUAGCAUUGGCGAUAUUCCUCACUGUGGUGGUAGGAACAAUGCUCUAAAACAUAACUAAGAAACCGAGAAACUUUUUCUCAUUCGUCAACAAUUUCUUCUUAAAAGCACAUAACAUAAUUUUUCUUUGAACGCGUUUCAAUCCAUCAACCAUUGAUGGAAUUGAUCUUUGCAGAUAAUCCCUGCAAAACUCUCUAAACACAUUUUGGAAAAAGUCACUGUAUGUUUUGAAUGUCUGUCGAUGAUUAAAAGGACUACUAGGUUGUGAAUCCGCAUACUGGGCAAGCCAAUCUCUUCUAUCUUCUACUCUGUUUUUACUAAAAGCAAGAGUGAUUACAUCCUCAACGUUAUCGUCCCAAAGAUAGCAUUUCUUAUGAUCCUCAAUAUUUUCAAAAUAUUCUUUCAUUUCCUCAAGGUUGCAUGAAGCCAACCCCUAAAAGCAUGUACAUAUUGUACAAGAAUAAGAGUACUUAUGACAAUAUGCAUGGUGCAUGAAGAGUAAGUUGAAAACAUAAGGAACACGUACCUUGUAAUACUUGAUGGAAUAGUCAGCAACAUUGUCCGUCUCUUCUCUCCCGUCCUUAAACUCUCUGAUUGAAUAAAAUGCUCGAGAAUGAUGAUCUUGACUGCCAUCCUUCUUAAUCGCCUAUACAGAUCCACUCCAAACAUACAAGUUAAAAACAAGGAAUACGUAUGUGCAUUCUUGUACUUGAUAACAAUCUUUAACUCAUAUUGAAGUUAUCUAAGCAUAUGGUAGUCAAACAAUAUAAACUAACCUUCAAAAUAGGAGUUAUAAACCCAACAAAAAGUGGUGGUCAAUUUUAAGAAGCGAGGACCAAUAAAAAUGAAAAAAAUUAAUCAAAAGCCGGUUGAUGUGGGAACCAUCAUGAUCCUACACAAACACAUGCGUUAAACUUCUCAAUGGUCAUCAAGAUGAUGAUAUGCAUAUUAAAAUUGUGUAUAGGAGUCCUUUGGAAGUGAAAAAGAAUUCCAUAAAUGAUCUUGUGCAUGGAGAUGAGAAAGUUUCUUUUAGGUCAUCAAAUGAAGCAUUACUGAUAUUAGCUUUCAAAAGGAUCCAUAGAUGCUUCUUCACAUCAUCGGGUGUUAGGUUGAAAUUUUGCUUUUCAUCGAUAAUAUUCACCAGAUGCUCUGCGAUCUUAUUUGCCACGAAAUCCACAAGAGGUCUACUCUUGAUUGUAUUGAAUAAAUUCAGAAAGGUGACUUGCGUCAAAUAAAAAACAAUUUUCGGAAGUAUAAAAAAGGAAAAAUACCUACCCAAAUUUCAGAAAAAUCAAAGUGAUGUAAAAUAAUGGCUAGGCUAGGCUAGGCUUAGUAAGCUAGCUAGUUAUGCGGUUAUGCAAUGAUGCAAAAUUGCAAAUGCUUUCGUCCAUUUAAUAUUGAAAAAUACUAAGAGAAAUAUCUCUACUACCUAACAGUUUAACGUUAAAUUCUGUAUUAAUAUUGUAAAACAUCACAUAAAAAAUAUAAGGUGAUAGAGAAGAAUUAAUAUGCUUAUUCUUAAAACAGCUUUCGAUGUUUACGAUUGCAUCAGUACAUAAGUUUCGGCACGAAUGUAUCGAUACAUAAAUUUCAAUACGAAUGUUGCGGUACAAUUGUAUCAGUACAUAAGUUCUAGUACGAUUGCAUCGGUACAUAAGUUUUGGUACGAAUGUAUCGGUACAUAAGUUUCGGUACAAAUGUACUAUGAGUAUAUAAGUUUUGGUACGAAUGUAUCGGUUCAUAAGUUUCAGUACGAAUGUACUAUUGGUACAUAAAUUUCGGUACAAUUGCAUCGGUACAUAAGUUUCGAUACGAAUGUAUCUGUAUAUAAGUUUUGGUUGGUGCACCAUCCUUCAAGUGAUCCAGCAAUAAAUCUUUCUUUUGUAGCUCAUCGAUCAACAGCCUUCCUUUUCGGUACAUAGAUAAUAUUGCCUUCAACAUCUUUAUUUGACUUUACUAUGCUUAUCUCAUUUGUAUGCACGUAUGCUACAAAUUUAAGCUAAAGCUCCAGUAUAUUUACCUCAUCUCCCACAUGAUUUUGUGCCAUUCCAACAAUAGCAUUGGCGAUAUUCCUCACUGUGGUGGUAGGAACAAUGCUCUAAAACAUAACUAGGAAACCGAGAAACUUUUUCUCAUUCGUCAACAAUUUCUUCUUAAAAGCACAUAACAUAAUUUUUCUUUGAACGCGUUUCAAUCCAUCAACCAUUGAUGGAAUUGAUCUUUGCAGAUAAUCCCUACAAAACUCUCUAAACACAUUUUGGAAAAAGUCAUUGUAUGUUUUGAAUGUCUGUCGAGGAUUAAAAUGACUACUAGGUUGUGAAUCCGCAUACUUGGCAAGCCAAUCUCUUCUAUCUUCUACUCUGUUUUUACUAAAAGCAAGAGUGAUUACAUCCUCAACGUUAUCGUCCCAAAGAGAGCAUUUCUUAUGAUCCUCAAUAUUUUCAAAAUAUUCUUUCAUUUCCUCAAGGUUGCAUGAAGCCAACCCCUAAAAGCAUGUACAUAUAUUGUACAAGAAUAAGAGUACUUAUGACAAUAUGCAUGGUGCAUGAAGAGUAAGUUGAAAACAUAAGGAACACGUACCUUGUAAUACUUGAUGGAAUAGUCAGCAACAUUGCCGUCUCUUCUCUCCAGUCCUUAAACUCUCUGAUUGAAUAAAAUGCUCGAGAAUGAUGAUCUUGACUGCCAUCCUUCUUAAUCGCCUAUACAGAUCCACUCCAAACAUACAAGUUAAAAACAAGGAAUACAUAUGUGCAUUCUUGUACUUGAUAACAAUCUUUAACUCAUAUUGAAGUUAUCUAAGCAUAUGGUAGUCAAACAAUAUAAACUAACCUUCAAAAUAGGAGUUAUAAACCCAACAAAAAGUGGUGGUCAAUUUUAAGAAGCGAGGACCAAUAAAAAUGAAAAAAAUUAAUCAAAAACCGUUUGAUGUGGGAACCAUCAUGAUCCUACACAAACACAUACGUUAAACUUCUCAGUGGUCAUCAAGAUGAUGAUAUGCAUAUUAAAAUUGUGUAUAGGAGUCCUUUGGAAGUGAAAAAGAAUUCCAUAAAUGAUCUUGUGCAUGGAGAUGAGAAAGUUUCUUUUAGGUCAUCAAAUGAAGCAUUACUGAUAUUAGCUUUCAAAAGGAUCCAUAGAUGCUUCUUCACAUCAUCGGGUGUUAGGUUGAAAUUUUGCUUUUCAUCGAUAAUAUUCACCAUAUGCUCUGCGAUCUUAUUUGCCACGAAAUCCACAAGAGGUCUACCCUUGAUUGUAUUGAAUAAAUUCAGAAAUGUGACCUGGGUCAAAUAAAAAACAAUUUUCGGAAGUAUAAAAAAGGAAAAAUACCUACCCAAAUUUCAGAAAAAUCAAAGUGAUAUAAAAUAAUGGCUAGGCUAGGCUAGGCUAGGCUAGGCUUAGUAAGCUAGCUAGUUAUGCGGUUAUGCAAUGAUGCAAAAUUGCAAAUGCUUUCGUCCAUUUAAUAUUGAAAAAUACUAAGAGAAAUAUCUAUACUACCUAACAGUUUAACGUUAAAUUAUGUAUUAAUAUUGUAAAACAUCACAUAAAAAAUAUAAGGUGAUAGAGAGGAAUUAAUAUGUUUAUUUUCGAAACAACUUUCGAUGUUUACGAUUGCAUCAGUACAUAAGUUUCGGCACGAAUGUAUCGGUACAUAAAUUUCAAUACGAAUGUUGCGGUACAAUUGUAUCAGUACAUAAGUUCUAGUACGAUUGCAUCGGUACAUAAGUUUAGGUACAUAAGUUUCGGUACGAAUGUAUCAGUACAUAAGUUUUGGUACGAAUGUAUCGGUACAUAAGUUUCUGUACAAAUGUAGUAUGAGUAUAUAAGUUUUGGUAUGAAUGUAUCGGUUCAUAAGUUUUAGUACGAAUGUACUAUCGGUAUAUAAAUUUCGGUACAAUUGCAUCGGUACAUAAGUUUCGAUACGAAUAUAUCUGUAUAUAAGUUUUAGUACAAAAUGUAUCAGAACAUAACUAUAGUACAUACAUAAGAAUGUAAUAUGCAUAUACAUACAUAUAGACAAAUUUACGCACCAAUUAAGAAUAUAUGAUACAUAUGGUUUUUUUGUUUUUGUGGAAACUUAAUAAUAAUUGUCAAAUAAUAAAAUCUCAAUAACUAUUACAACUUAAUUAGUAUUUGAUUGUUACAAUUAAAUGUCAAUGACUAAAGUUAAUUUUUAAUCUUAUAUAUGUUUUUAUUCUCGAAGUAAUAUUAUUCAAGGAUUGAAAUAGAAUUUUCUAUAAUAAGGAUGAUGUGCGUCUCAAUCUCUUGAGACAUUGGUAGACCCAUCCAACAUAGCCUAAAGUAAGUUUUAUACGUGUAGUCCAAAUGACAUAAGUUUUGCUAUAUCUGAUAUGAUUUGGCCAAUAGUCACGCAUGCCUGUAUACUGUUUCACACUGACUAACUGAAUACAACUGACUAAUUGAUUAGGUUAGGAUAACUAAUUGAUCGCCUACUAUCAUCAGUUAUCUACAAUUACUAAUACUAAGUGAGGAAAUAUUUCUUAUCCUAUUAAAUGUGAUCGGCUAUUUGCAUUAUAGUACGCAACUGUAUUCGGUUUUGCAUCUAAUCUUCUAUUAGCUCUAAGUAGUUCAUAUCUUUUCUUAUAGUCUAUUUGCAAGUCUUUCUAGAUCUUACUCUACUUUUUUUGCCCUGAGUUUCCAUCUUAUAGUUGCAUCUUUUAACCAAAAUAUAUGUAAGUUUUCGAUUCACGUGUCCAAACUACCUUAAUUAAUUUUCUCUCAUUUUAUCUUCAAUUGCAGUCACCUCCUACUUUACCUCAUAUAUACUUUAUCUUAUAUGAAUUAUCUAUACGCACCUAUUAAUUUUCAUACAUUAGUUGUCAAAACAAACAACAUUUGGCAUAUGAUAUAUAAUUAGAUGCUUUUAGUUGUCUUAAAUGGCAUUCGAGUCACUUACGAGCCAAGAAUAUCGACUAUACUUUGGAAGCUUUAAUUUAAUUUGGUGUACAAAAAAGAUAUUGUCACACCCAUCUCUAAUUAUAUUGGAAGGUUGAAUUUAGAGUCACAUUGUCACACUCAUAAAUACACACAAAUUGGCAUAUUUGUAUUUAUUUUGAUUAAUUAAUGAAUAUCAAACAAUAGUUUAUUGAGAAAAGAAAAGAAAAAUACAUUACCCAAAUUUCAGAAAAAUCAAAGUGAAGUAACCGUAUUAUCAUGGCUAGGCUAGGCUUCGUAGGCUAGCUAGUUGGUUAUGCGGUUAUGAAAAGAUGCAAAAUUGCAAAUGUUUUCGUCUAUUUAAUAUUGAAAAAUGCUAAAAGGAGUCUUUUAAAUGAGAAUCUUUUUACUACCUAACAAUUUAACGUCAAUUUAUGUAUCAAUAUUAUAAAAUAUUCUAUCAAAAAUAUAAGAUGACAAAAAGAAAUUGAUGUGCUUAUUUUUAAAAUAGCUUUUGUUGUACUUUAAGAAAAACAAAAGUUGGUUGCUGAACAAUUAGCAGGAGUUCCUGCUGAAAAGCCAAUGUAAUUGCUCUUGGUUUGACACGUUUUUUCCUUCUUUUUUUUCCUACAGAAUUGUUCAUUUUGAAAAGUAUCCUUCUAACACAAAUGCCCUCUCUUACCAGUCUCCUUCAUUCCUUAUUUUGUAGAAAAUUACUCAUUCAUUAAUAUAAGGGGUAUUCUAGGCCAAUAAAUUUUUAUCAAACAAAAUUUAGUGUUUUCUCUUUAAAUUGAAGCAGCUUUUUGAUGGAAAAAUGUAACACCAAACAGAGCCUAAGUAUGCGACUUUUAUGGUUCAAGCAAACAUCGGUUUUGGAGUUUACAGAUAAAUUGUCUCCAUUUAGUAUUAGUCUGUUUCUUAAAAACAAUGUAUAAAUCUAUCGCGUGACACAUUAAAACUACUAUGUAAAGCACAAUAAAUAUUUGAUGUACAUGAGAGAUGGCACUUAUCCGAUUUCUUGUGUCUCAUUCUUCUCAUAUGUACCAUAACUUAUGCGUACAAGUUGAAAUGAUGUUUCCGAUUUUAAAAGUAAAAUUUUCACAUGAGAACUCGAAAAUUUCAAAUUCGAAUAUUUUUUGAAAAAUUAAAAUGCAUACAAGAAUUAUGAUAGUUCUAAUCCAAAUUUUUCUGAAGUAUUCCAAACUCAAGGCUGUUUGUAUCAUGAAAACAAAUUGCGUCGAACUAAGAUUUGUUCAAACUCAAAAUGUUGAGAAACAAGCUCUGCAAAUUUACAGACCCCCUCGGUGACUAUUUUUUUUUCUUUCAAAUUUUAAACUAUUCUUCAAUUAGAAACAGAGGAAAAUGUGGGGGAGAUGAGGAAGUUCAAUCCAGCACAACACAACACAAGAGCAUCUACCAUUGUAAAAAGCAUGGCCAAAUUUAUUGCCUUUUGCGAUCAAAAUUGCCAACACAAUGAAAGAAUCAACCUCUCAACCUCUAGUCAACAGAUUCACACAAUAUAAAAAGUAGGCAUAGAAUACAUUAAAACACAAGGAGACCAGAAAUGCAACAAGAAUUUGUCGACCAACAACACUCCCGAACCUCAGGCGCGCGCCCACAAAAACAACCUGAAACAAUUAAAAAAUGUGUUGAAGAGAACCAGGACAAAAAGUCCCACACUACAUAAAUGAUGGCCCAAAAAUUAAAAAAUCAGCAAUAUUGUUGUUGACGAGCUACCUAGGGAUUGUGUUAAAAAAACUCACUUGAUCAAAAACUUCUUCCUCUUGUUCAUUUUCCUCUUUAAUCAGCUCCUGUUCCUCAGGCAUCAAAGUCUUCUGCUUUGGUCCUUUCUGCUCUCUCUCUUUUUCUACUAGAACUGGCAGUGAUCACCUGCUUUAUCUCCUCCACGAUGGAUCUCACCUGGCUUUCAUCUAAAAGUGGUCCAGAUGUCUGAAAGCAAAGAUACAAGGUGCAUGAACGGGGCCAUACUCAAGAAAUGAUUCACAAUAAAAAAAACGAAAACACGAAAAAAAAAAUUUUGUCUUUUGAACAAAGCAAAUUCAGAUUAACUCAACAAAACAUUUCUCCCAAAACAGUUGGCUCGUUCACUGCUUCCAUGCAAACUAAAAUCAAGGAUUGGCUACUUCAAAACAAAUCAAUUAGUACUACACUGCGGUGACUGCCAGCAUUUCCAAGUUCAAGCCCAAAAUCUAAAAGGCAGAGAUUUAAUUAUAAAAGUUCUUGCAAAUCAAACCAAUGAUUUUCUUCUGCAAUGAAAAGAAAAUAAAACAGUAAGUGGCAUAGCAUGGAACAUGAUUAGUAUCCAGUACUCAGUAGCUCCGUCAUUGCUAGAAACAAAAAGUAGAUAUCUCUUCAUUAAGAAACGGAGCAAACUCCAACAAAAUUUGUAGAGGAAAGAGAAAAAUAAAACAUUGAGUAUUAACAAUUAAUGGUACCUGAAACAGCUGCCUUCCUAACUUCUUCAUGGAAAUAAAACUUAAGAAGUGGAACCAAAGUUGGGGCAACCUACACAAAUAUGACCUUUGUAAGUAUUCAACCAAAGUCGGACAAAAAAAUAAUAGUCGUGACACUAUCGAAUACCUGAUCAAUCCAGGGAAAGAAUCCUUCUUUCAGCCCAUCAGCAUAGCAACACAGCAUAUUGCAAGCUGUAGCUUUUUCCUCCAAGACACUAAUCUUGAUUCCAAUCCUUUUAUCCCCAAGAGUAAUUGUUUCCAUACUGUAACACAAAAGCAGCUUUUAGCUAGAGAAGGAGUAAUACAGAGCUACAUAACAGCCCUAUUUCCAGAUCUUGAUAUCUUUUACACACUCACUCACCAAAACUACACCUCAAACACUCAAAUCAGUACUUGGUAACUUAACCAGAUAAUUAUCAAGUAUAGAAGCAUAUAAAAAAGUUGAUGUGGAUGUUAAAACCACUGGUUAUCCAUGCAGUGAAAGUUUCUACACUAGAUUCAGGUACAUCACAUAUCAAAAUUUAGGAAGGAUACAAGAAAUAGGUAGCGAUGCAACAUUUGAGAUAUCAUACAUGCCUGUUGGUAUUGAACUUACAAAAAAGGGAAAUGAGAAAAGUUUCAGACCUAUCAUCAUCAGAGUCAUCAAUAUCAUUUUCGUCAUCUGCAGAUGUGAUAGUAACAUCUGGCUUAAGUUGAGCAGAUUGAAGCAAAGGAGGCAUUAGCACACUCAUGUGUGGGAGGAAAUCUUGUCCUAGGCACUUGCAGAGUCUAGCCCAGGCCUACAACAUUGUAGAUAAAUUUUUAUUGCAAACAAUAAGCUUUACUAUAGUAAUUUCAGUGCAAUUAUAAGAUAAGGGCAUACUUGUAACAUGUAACUUGUAGUUGGAUCAUCCGUCUCCAUGUGAGAUCCUUGCAAAGCCAUCAGCACUUCCAUGACCUUCAGAGAAACAGUAAACACCAGUCUGUGAUUUAGAUGAAUUGGCAGCAGCAUUUUUCUAUUAGGUUUUUAGAUUGGCCAAAAUGGCAGCAGCAUUUUUCUAUUAGGUUUUUAGAUUGGCCAAAAUGGCAGCAGCAUGUUCACAGGUUGAAAGACUCAAAUUAUAAUUUCCCAACGGAUAAUCAGAAAAGAGCUGAUGCAUAUAACUUAAGCAUAGGAGAGUGCCGAAGAGGAAAAAAAGAAGAAGUCAAUUUCCGAAUUUUGACAAAAUUAAAAUCUAUUGGGAGGAGUAAGGUAGGAAAUGGUUCAAAAUAGCCAAAAUUUAAGUCUGCAUGAACAAGCACCUUAAAAAAUAAAAUGAAACCAUCAUCCAUCAAAUAGCCAUUCAUAUCCCAAGUCCAAUAAAGUAAAUGUAGUUUUAAAUGUAUAAUGCCUUACUUGCUUAGCAUCUUCCCUGAAUUUCUCUUUUCCAACUGCCAUUCCAACCAAAUUAAUACACUCCAUCGAUUUGGCAUGAAGCAUGCGAUUGGACUUGUCAGUGGCAUUCACCAAGAUAGCUUUCAGGUAAGGCAUAACUGCAUCAUAAUAUUUUUGAAAAUGAUCCUACAAAUCCCAUUCCAUCAAACUUAAUCAUCCAACAACAACAAAGCCUUUUCCCACUAAGUGGGGUCGGCUAUAUGAAUCCUAGAACGCCAUUGCGCUCGGUUUUGUGUCAUGUCCUCCGUUAGAUCCAAGUACUCUAAGUCUUUUCUUAGAGUCUCUUCCAAAGUUUUCCUAGGUCUUCCUCUACCCCUUUGGCCCUGAACCUCUGUCCCGUAGUCACAUCUUCGAACCGGAGCGUCAGUCGGCCUUCUUUGCACAUGUCCAAAUCAUCGGAGCCGAUUUUCUCUCAUCUUUCCUACAAUUUCGGCUACUCCUACUUUACCUCGGAUAUCCUCAUUCCCAAUCUUAUCCUUUCUCGUGUGCCCACACAUCCCACGAAGCAUCCUCAUCUCCGCUACACCCAUUUUGUGUACGUGUUGAUGCUUCACCGCCCAACAUUCUGUGCCAUACAACAUCGCUGGCCUUAUUGCCGUCCUAUAAAAUUUUCCCUUGAGCUUCAGUGGCCUACGACGGUCACACAACACGCCGGAUGCACUCUUACACUUCAUCCAUCCAGCUCGUAUUCUAUGGUUGAGAUCUCCAUCUAAUUCUCCGUUCUCUUGCAAGAUAGAUCCUAGGUAGCGAAAAACGGUCGCUUUUUGUGAUCUUCGCUAGAUUGCUCCGGUCAUUAGUGUGGAUAAGUAUAUAAAUGGAUAGAGAUAGGAAAGCAAACACAAGAUGUACGUGGUUCACCCAGAUUGGCUACGUCCACGGAAUAGAAGAGUUCUCAUUAAUUGUGAAGGGUUUACACAAGUACAUAGGUUCAAGCUCUCCUUUAGUGAGUACAAGUGAAUGAUUUAGUACAAAUGACAUUAGGAAAUAUUGUGGGAGAAUGAUCUCGUAAUCACGAAACUUCUAAGUAUCGGAGUGUGGUGUCGUCUUGACUUGCCUUAUCUGUCUCAUAGGUAGAUGUGGCAUCUUCUCUGGAAGUACUCUUCCUCCAUCCAGGGGUGGUAUCUUUAACUGGUGGAGAUGCACAAGGUAAUGUAUCAAUUUCACUUGAAGCUUACUUGUAGUCUCAGGCUUGGUCAAGCGCGAUACAAACCAUGUAGUAGGAGUCCCCCAAGUCGCCGAGCUAGGGGGUCUGCUGAAAGAGGUGACAGACAAGGUAAGCAAUCAGAGCUCCGACUGAUUGUUCACCUUCUCCCCAUCUUGCAGCAGCAUGAAGGAUAAAGAGAAGAAAAAUGAGAAGAGAUGAUAUGAGAUACUUUUGCUUUUGAAGAAGUAACUUUCCACAGGCUUAUUCUUGAACUGAGCUGGAGGGUUUUCUGGUUUCCUCCAGAGUAUAAGGCCGACUGAAGAAUUUGAGGGUCAAAACAAGUCCAUCAAAUCUAGAGUACGUUCCACCCUGCUGAUAUGGGAUACUUUUGCUUUUGACAGAGUAAUAGAUGUAUCGGCACGUGUGCUGUUACGCUUGUCUCCACAUGCUUCCUUGUAUCCUUCGCACUUGCCCUAUCUGUUCCUCAAGCAGAUGCGGAAUCUUCCCUGGAAACAUAAGAUGUUGAAGAUGAGUACUCGAGAGCAAUGCCAGGUAAGUAAUCAGGUAAGGGGUUCCAGGCAGUCAGUUCCUGGCUGGAAGCUUGAUUCCAAGUGCUGACUGAUUGCUCUCUUUCUCCUUGUCUUGCAGGUAAAAACAAGGCAAAAGGAAAAGACAGAGAAAAAGCAUGAUAUGGGAUACUCUUGCUUUUAACCCUGAUGAUAUGAGAUAUUCUUGCUCUAGUAUAGCUUGUUUGCAGAGGUAUUAUCGGGGGGAAAGAAAGCUGAAUAUUUCGAAAGGCUUCGUUGGGAGUGCCCUCUCAGAUAUGAUGAAGGGUUGAGCAUUUUUGCAGGUCUGCCUGUCCGUUAGGGAUGGAGGUCGACAUAUAUAGGAGUCUCCCUAACAACAAGUAAUAAUGUUAUUCCUUUACCCUGCUUGGUCAUAGCACGGUAGUGGGAGCUGCCAGUUUCACAUGUUUUAACUCUGUCAGAGCACUUUGAAAAAGUGGUCUGUGGUAUCUGGCUCUCGAGAUUCGGAGAACGAUGCCUCUUCGAUUUUUGAGAAAGCAAUCAUGCUGGGGGUCUGGCUCUCGAGAUUCGUAGAGCAGUGUCUCUUCGAUUUUUGAGGAAGUAAUCAUGUUGGGAGUCUGGCUCUCGAGAUUCGGAGGGCGGUGCCUCUUCGAUUUUGGAGCAAGCAAUCCUGUUGGGAGUGUUGUCUCGAAUGUGAGUAAAGGUUGGGCAUGUUUGCUAGUCUACCUUGCCACGAAGCACAAAGGUUGACACACAGGGACUUUCCAAUUAUCCAGCAAUGGUACUGUUCCUUUACCCUCUCUUCGCUUUUGAGAAAGUAGUCAUGUUGGGAGUCUGGCUCUCGAGAUUCGGAGGACGGUGCCUCUUCGAUUUUGGAGCAAGCAAUCUUGUUGGGAGUGUUUUCUCGAAAGUGAGUAAAGGUUGGGCAUGUUUGCUAGUCUACCUUGCCACGAAGCACAGAGGUUGACACACAGGGACUUUCCAAUUAUCCAGCAGUGGUACUGUUCCUUUACCCUUGUGGGUAAUAAUAUGGUAGCUAGACCUUCAAAAUUUAUGUGUCUAAAACUUUGUUAGUGCUGUUUCUUUGCUAUUCUUUUACCUUUCUUGGUCAGAGCGAUGUAGUGGGAGCUGCAAGCUUCACGUGCUCAACUUUGGCAGAGAACUUUGGCAAAGUUAUUUGUGGUACCCAUGAGCUAUUGUUGCGUGUGGGAAGUGGGUGAUUGAACAGUAAGAUUCAUGUGCUUUCUACUUCACCAGAAGCCUUCGACAGAAUGCCCAUAAUUUCUGCAAAGCUGAGUGUGCGUGUGUGACAGGUGUUGAUAAGGCUAGAAAAGUAGGUGUCUCUUCGAUUUCUGAGAUCGGCCCUCGUGGUCUCUGAGCAGCCCAGCUUUUGAGAAAGCGAGCGCCUCUUCGAUUGAUUCGGAGAACGAUGCCUCAUCGAUUUUUGAGAAAGCAAUCAUGCUGGGGGUCUGGCUCUCGAAGAUUCGGGGAGCAGUGUCUCUUCGAUUUUUGAGAAAGUAAUCACGUUGGGAGUCUGGCUCUCGAGAUUCGGAGGGCGGUGCCUCUUCGAUUUUGGAGCAAGCAAUCUUGUUGGGAGUGUUUUCUCGAAUGUGAGUAAAGGUUGGGCAUGUUUGCUAGUCUACCUUGCCACGAAGCACAGAGGUUGACACACAGGAACUUUCCAAUUAUCCAGCAAUGGUACUGUUCCUUUACCCUCUCUUCGAUUUUUUAAGAAAGUAGUCAUGUUGGGAGUCUGGCUCUCGAGAUUCGGAGGACGGUGCCUCUUCGAUUUUGGAGCAAGCAAUCUUAUUGGGAGUGUUUUCUCGAAUGUGAGUAAAGGUUGGGCAUGUUUGCUAGUCUACCUUGCCACGAAGCACAGAGGUUGACACACAGGGACUUUCCAAUUAUCCAGCAGUGGUACUGUUCCUUUACCCUUGUGGGUAAUAAUAUGGUAGCUAGACCUUCAAAAUUUAUGGGUCUAAACUUUGUUAGUGCUGUUUCUUUGCUAUUCUUUUACCCUUCUUGGUCAGAGCGAUGUAGUGGGAGCUGCAAGCUUCACGUGCUCAACUUUGGCAAAGAACUUUGGCAAAAGUUAUCUGUGGUACCCAUGAGCUAUUGUUGCGUGUGGGAAGUGGGUGAUUGAACAGUAAGAUUCAUGUGUUUUCUACUUCCCCAUAAGUCUUCGACAGAAUGCCCAUAAUUUCUGCAAAGCUGAGUGUGCGUGUGACGGGUGCUGACAAGGCUGGAAAAGUAGGUGCCUCUUCGAUUUCUGAGAUCGGCCCUCGUGGUCUCUAAGGAGCCCAGCUUUUGAGAAAGCGAGCGCCUCUUCGAUUUCUGAGAUCGGCCUUCGUGGUCUUUGAGCAGCCCAACUUUUGAGAAAGCAAACGCCUCUUCGAUUUCUGAGAUCAACCCUCGUGAUCUCUAAGCAGCCCAGCUUUUGAGAAAGCAAACGCCUCUUCGAUUUCUGAGCAGGCGCCUCUUCGCUUUCUGAAGCUCCGUCGAGUGCAGAUUUUUAUAGAGGCUGGCAUUAAGUUCCAAAGCACACUUGAAUCUCCACCAGUAGAAGCUUCAUUCUUGCACUUCUAAGAUCUUGAUUUGUCCGACCUCUUCUCUCUUCAACACCUUGGAAAAUGUCUGGCCCCUCCGACCGUCGUUUUGACUUGAACCUUGUUGAAGAGGCAGCCCCGCCUUCUCCAGACAACAUAUGGCGCCCAUCCUUCGUCUCCCCUACUGGUCCUCUUACCGUUGGGGAUUCCGUGAUGAAGAAUGAUAUGACCGCUGCGGUGGUGGCCAGGAACCUUCUCACUCCCAAAGAUAACAGACUACUUUCCAAACGGUCUGAUGAGUUAGCUGUUAAGGAUUCGCUGGCUCUCAGUGUUCAGUGUGCAGGUUCUGUGUCUAAUAUGGCCCAACGCCUAUUUGCUCGAACCCGCCAAGUUGAAUCCUUGGCGGCUGAAGUGAUGAGUCUCAAACAGGAGAUUAGAGGGCUCAAGCAUGAGAAUAAACAGUUGCAUCGGCUCGCACAUGACUAUGCUACAAACAUGAAGAGGAAGCUUGACCAGAUGAAGGAAACUGAUGGUCAGGUUUUACUUGAUCAUCAGAGAUUUGUGGGUUUGUUCCAAAGGCAUUUAUUGCCUUCGUCUUCUGGGGCUGUACCGCGUAAUGAAGCUCCGAAUGAUCAACCUCUGAUGCCUCCUCCUUCUAGGGUUCUGUCCAGUACUGAGGCUCCAAAUGAUCCCCCUCCGGUGCCUUCUCUUUCUGGGGCUCUACCGACUGCUGAGACUUCUCCUAAGCAACCUUUGUGAAGGCUCCAUCUUGUGUGUUUAUUUUGACUCAUGUAUAUGUACAUAUUUGUAGCUGAUCGGGGAUAUCAAUAAAUAAGCUUUCCUUCAUUUCAACGUAUUGUGUUAAAUACACCAAAGCCUUCUUCGCUAAGUUCUUUGAAUUUUCUUUUGUUGAAGCUUGUAUGUUGAAGCUUUCUGAGUGGAGCAUGUAGGUUGGGGUAGUGUUCCCUUAAUUUCCCGAGUGAGGAAAACUUCUCGGUUGGAGACUUGGAAAAUCCAAGUCACUGAGUGGGAUCGGCUAUAUGAAUCUUAGAACGCCAUUGUGUGCUCGAUCCUGUGUCAUGUCCUUCGUUAGAUCCAAGUACUCUAAGUCUUUUCUUAGAGUCUCUUCCAAAGUUUUCCUAGGUCUUCCUCUACCCCUUCGGCCCUGAACCUCUGUCCCAUAGUCGCAUCUUCUAAUCGGAGCGUCAGUAGGCCUUCUUUGCACAUGUCAACAUGUCCAAACCACCGUAACCGAUUUUUCUCUCAUCUUUCCUUCAAUUUCGGCUACUCCUACUUUACCCCGGAUAUCCUCAUUCCUAAUCUUAUCCUUUCUCGUGUGCCCACACAUCCAACGAAGCAUCCUCAUCUCCGCUACACCCAUUUUGUGUACGUGUUGAUGUUUCACCGCCCAACAUUCUGUGCCAUACAGCAUCGCCGGCCUUAUUGCCGUCCUAUAAAAUUAAUAAAAUAAAAAUUUCACCUAUAAUAUCACAUUAUAUAGUCCAAUACCUGAGAUGAAUCAGCAACAGAUGCCAAAGCAGUCAAGGCACCCUCUUGUACCAUUUGUUUUCCAUUCUGCAUGAAACGUGAAAAAUCAGACACAAGUAAAAUGUACUAGUUCAAAAGCAUGUAAUUAAGUACAAUUUUACAUCAUGAAUAAGGUGUUUGUAUAUAUAUACAUAAUCUUGGGAAGCAUUACCUGCAGAAGUACUAGCAAUUUGCUCACCACUCCAUCCAAAUACGGUGUUAAAAUAUCCGGAGUGCAAUUCUCACUGAAAUUCAGCAUUGCUGAAGCAGCACGUGCCUGCAGAUAACAAAUUACAAAAAAGGAAGCAAUGAAUAGAUAAUCUUGCACGUUUAGUUACAUGAUCUUGAUAACGAGCUGAGUAAAGCACAUUCACAAACGACCACUAUUCUCCAAAUUCAGAAAAUAAAGAACCUCAAAUGGAGGAUAGCUUGCAACUAUGGACACCAAUGAUAGCUCACAAUUCACAACAAAAUCCCAACGAUUAGUUUUCAACUGUACUUUUCAAAAAGUCCAUACUUAAACGGAAAUUCAUUAACUAGAAAGCUGCACAAAAGUACUUUAUAGCUGUACUAUUCACUUAUUUAAGGAUAUAAAAGUGCCCCCUCGGAAACUGCAUUGUAGGAAUAUACAAUUGCUUAUGCGCAAACAUCUUACAUAAGCGUAUUGUAUAUGUCCUGAAAGCCUAUCCAAACAUUCCUGCCUUUUCUCUCACUUUCUCUCUCUAGACUUUUGAAUCAAAUCAAAAGUCGGGAUUUUUGGGGAGUUUAGGGGUGCGGGGGAUUAAAGUAGGAGCGGGAGCAGAGGAGUGGGGCUCCUAAAUAAAGGAAGAAAUGCAAGGAAUUAUCCAAUGGAUGAUUAGCUGGGCGUGGGUCAGUGAUCAAUCAUGAUUUAUGACUAUAAUUUUCCCACCAAAUUUAUUUUUGGAGGGAAGGGAGAAGGGACUCAUUUUUUCUUCUUUAAUAUGGUAUAAAAUCAUAAGAAAACUAAUAAAAAAUAUUUGAAAAUUUUGAGUUUUAACAAAAAUGACAAAAUAAAUUAUAAAGUUAAUAGUAUCAGGAUUGAUUUUUAUGGGUAAAAAUGUGUUUUUUCGUUAAAAUAAACAGUACCUAAAUUUUCUUAUGAUUUUAUACCAUAUUAAAGAAGAAAAAAUGAAAAAAUAAAUUAUAAAGUUAAUAGUAUCAUGAUUGAUUUUUAUGGGUAAAAAUGUGUUUUUUCGUUAAAAUAAACAGUACCUAAAUUUUCUUAUGAUUUUAUACCAUAUUAAAGAAGAAAAAAUGACAAAAUAAAUUAUAAAGUUAAUAGUAUCAUGAUUGAUUUUUAUGGGUAAAAAUGUGUUUUUUUAUUAAAAUAAACAGUACCUAAAGUGUUUUGUUAAAGUUUUCAAAAAUCAUAUCUUGAAAUUUUAUUAAUUACCAAAAAAUAAAAUUUCUGUGGAAAAUAGUUGGGCCAACCAGUUUAUAAAGCAAAAGCCCAACUUCUUCAUGCCGUCCUCCUAAUACUGAAUUUUUAAUUGUUUUCCCUUUUUUCAACAAAGCAAAACAAUAUUUUGAGUUAAAAAGGAAAAGAUUUCUAAACUCUUGGCAACUUGUCAAUGGUUUUAGUGGCUUAUUCUCCAUUUAAGUAUUUCUUGAGUGGAGAUAUUUUUAUUUCCACGUAGUAUUUCUUGAGUCGAAGAUCUCAAAGCAACAACAAUAUUUGCUCUCUUCUUUAUUUUCCUUUUUGUUCUUCUAAUUUUUUGAAUCUCUGAUUCGAAUUUGUUUGCUUUUUUAUUGGAGGGGGUUUCCCAACGUGAGUUUCCUUGUUUUUUCAAUCUCUUUUUCCCUGCCUGUAACGAUGGAAAAUUGGCGCCUCAAGCAUUGCUGAAUACGCAUAUAGUUUCCAAUCGGUUUGUUUUUCUUUUUUUCUUUUUCAGAUUGAAAUGGAAAUGGAAAUGGAACUGGUGAGGAGGAAGCACAGGAGAUUGGGCCACUGCUGCAAGAACAACGGAAGGCUGGUGGAGCUCCCCACCGAAAUUCUUUACGACAUCCUUUUGAGGCUGCCAAUAAGCUCUAUUUUUUGCCUCCGAUGUGUCUCCAAGACUUCAAAAAACAGAGUCGACUGCCCGUGUUUUUGUACAUUGCACACGCGAUGUUUACUUUCUGCGGAAGCUGCUGCAUCAUCUGUUGCUUCUAACCAAGCACCCCUGAUUUUGAUUCUUGAUCACUUCACCUCUAGAUUGGAUUCUGGAUAUGCCUUCAUGCCACUGAAAUUCAAAUAUGAUGGCAGCAACGUUACCUUUGUUAGGAAUGUCGGUACUACAAGAUAGAGAAUGCACAAGGUAAAGUAGAAAAUGGACGCCAAGAAUUUAUGUGGUUCGGCAAUUUAUGUCUACGUCCACCAAACAAGGAAUCUUCACUAUAUGAAAAAGAUGAAUACAACAAGAGUAGUCUUACCAAGCCAAAGACAAGGCUUGAUGGAUACAAGAAAGUAUAACACACACUUUCUAUCACUCUAAACUUCACUCACACAAUGUGUAGUGGAACACUCUCACUCUCACUCUUGGAGUGGAACUCUAGCUUUGGACUUGAUCCUUUGCUACUCACUCUUCUCUUGAUUUGUUGGUUCACUACAACAUCACACCCAUAUUUAUAGGUGAGGGUUUGGCAUUCUACUAGUUUCUAGUGUAUUCUUCAAACCUCUAGCAUAGAAAGAUCUAGACUAGCCACAAAAGUGUGGCUUCUAGAUCUUUCCAUUUGCAACCAAGGAAGCUAGUACUCUCUAGCUUCUUCCAUCAACUUAAUAACAUGCUAGAAUUGUCUAGCAUGCUCCAGCCAUCUCUCUUGCUUACUAGAAUAAUCUAGAACAUUGAUCAUGGGCUGGACCAUAUACCAACAAUCUCCCCCUCCAGUCCAUGAGGGAGGAAUUCCGAUCAUGACUCCAAGUUACCUGGAAUCCAUCCCAGCAGCCUUAAUGCAGAAUUCCAACUUUGAUUUUGUGACCACCUUUGUCAACAUGUCUGAAGAAUUAUUAUCGGUAUGAAUCUUCUUCAGCUGUGUAGCAUCUUGUUCUCGAUAGCAUCUCUAAUCCAGUGAUAACGAAUAUCAAUGUGCUUGGUGCGUGAAUGGUAUGCAGUGUUCUUGCUCAAAUCCAGAGCACUCUGACUAUCACAAUAAACGCCAUAAUCACUUUGCUUCAAACCCAACUCUUGGAGAAACCGCUUCAGCCACAACAACUCCUUGCAUGCUUCUGUAGCGGCUAUGUAUUCAGCCUCGGUUGUAGACAAAGCAACACACUUUUGCAACUUGGAUUGCCAAGACACGGCUCCCCCUGCAAAAGUAAACAAGUACCCAGACGUAGAUUUUCUACCAUCCAGGUCACCUCCCAUGUCAGCAUCUGUAAAUCCUUCCAAGAUUGGUUUGGAACCGCCAAAGCACAAGCACAUCUUAGAAGUCCCCUUCAAAUAUCUGAGAAUCCACUUAACAGCUUCCCAAUGGUCUUUCCCUGGAUUAGAGAGAAACCUGCUCACCACACCUACUGCAUGAGCAAUAUCUGGCCGUGUGCACACACCAUUGCAUACAUGAUACUUCCUACUGCUGAAGAGUAGGGAACAACUGCCAUUUUUCUCCUUUUCUUCAUAUGUUUUUGGACACGACUCUUUGCUCAACUUGAUAUGAUUGGCUAAAGGUGAGCUUACCGAUUUGGCUGCUUUCAUGUUGAACCUUUCAAGCACCCGUUCAACAUACUUUUCUUGUGACAGCCACAACUUCUUGGAUUUUCUGUCACGAAUUAUCUCCAUGCCCAAAAUCUGCUUGGCUGACCCUAAGUCCUUCAUGUCAAAGGACUUAGAUAACUCUUCUUUGAGCUUUUUAAUCAUAAAAGCAUCUUGACCGACAAUCAACAUGUCAUCAACAUAAAGCAACAAAAUGAUGAAUUUACCUCCAGAAAAUUGUUUGAUAUAGACACAAGAGUCAGCAUGAGUUCUCUUGUACCCAUUACUCACCAUGAAUGAGUUGAACUUCUUAUUCCACUGUCUCGGAGCCUGCUUAAGACCAUAUAAGCUUUUCUUGAGCUUGCACACCAAAGUUUCUUUACCCUUGACUUCAAAGCCUUUGGGUUGCUCCAUAUAUAUCUCCUCUUCUAAGUUACCGUGGAGAAAUGCAGUUUUAACGUCUAACUGCUCGAGCUCAAGAUCCAUGCUUGCUGCCAUACCAAGGAUAACUCGAAUGGAAGUCAUCUUCACCACCGGUGAGAAAAUCUCAUCAAAGUCAACUCCUUUCUUUUGACCAAAACCUUUGACAACCAAACGAGCCUUGUACCUUGUCAUGUUGUCGUCAUUUUUCAAUUUGAACACCCCACUUGUUUUUCAGUGCUUUUCUGCCCUUUGGAAGCUCCACCAGCUCAUAGGUAUUAUUCUUUAAUAAGGAAUCCAUCUCUGACUCCAUUGCCUUCAUCCAUUUAUCACUGUCGUUAUGAGCUCUGGCCUCCUCAUAAGUUUCGGGCUCUCCAUAAUUAGUCAACAUGAUAUACUCUGAUGAAGAAUACUUGGUAGACGGUCUUCGACUUCUGCUGGAUCUUCUGACCUGAUCUUCAUUCUCUUGCGGGGCUAGAGGCUCCCCCUGAUUGGAUUCUCCUUGAAUCUGCUCUUCUUGACUAGGCUCCCCCUGAUCAGCAAUCUCAUGGUCUGGCACAUCUUGAUCAGGCUCCUCUUGAUCAGCAUUAUCUGAUUCUGCAGGCACUUCAUUGACAGUUGCUUCAGGGAUGUCAUCGUGACUUUCUUCAUCUGAAGCUAAUGGAUCAACUCCUCUGACUGCGCCAUCUGGUUGUGCCUCUUUAUCCGAAUCCCCAAUUGUUUGAUCUUCAUAAAAGACCACGUCUCUACUUCGGAUAAACUUCUUCUGGUAUGGGUCCCAUAAUCUGUAACCAAAAUCUUCACCGCCAUAACCAAGAAAGAUGCACGGUAUAGCUUUGUAGUCUAACUUCGAUCUCUGCUCUUUGGGCACAUGCACAAAAGCUUUGCAACCAAACACCUUCAGAUGAGAGUAAGACACAUUAUUACCAGUCCAUACUCUCUCUGGAACAUCAAGACCUAAUGGUACUGAUGGAGAUCGGUUGAUCAAAUAGCAGGCUGUCCUUACAGCUUCACCCCAGAACUGCUUAGAUAACUUUGCAGUCCUCAACAUACACUUGACUUUCUCCAUGAUGGUUCGGUUCAUUCUUUCAGCAACACCGUUAUGUUGUGGAGUUCCAGGAACUGUCUUCUCAUGACGUAUGCCAUGUUUUACACAAUACUCUCUAAACUGGUGAGAUGUGUACUCGCCGCCGUUGUCGCUACGAAGACACUUGAGAGGUUUUCCAGUUUCCCUCUCCACCAUGGCAUGGAACUCCUGGAAUGUCUGAAACACCUGGUCUUUGGAUUUCAACAAAUACACCCACACCCUUCGUGAAGCAUCAUCAAUAUAAGUAACAAAAUAUUUAUUUCUUCCAAGUGACUCGACUUCCAUGGGACCACACACAUCUGAAUAAACAAGAUCUAACAAGUUUCCUUUCUUUGUAGAUGAAACAGAAAAACUAACUCUUCUUUGUUUUCCGAAUAAACAAUGCUCACAAGAGUUUAACGACGUACCUUUUGGCAAAGGGAAUAUGAGACUUCUUUGCCAAAACUUGUAGGCCUUUCUCGCUCAUGUGGCCUAGCCUCUUAUGCCACAAGUCUAGAGAUGAGUCUUCCACAGCAUUCAACUCACCUUUCAAAACCUUGGCAUUUGACCGGUACAACGUACAACAAAGUCGUGCUCUUGCUACCACCAUUAAGCCUUUAGUAAGCUUCAAUUUUCCUUCGCCAAUAUGGUGAUAAUAUCCUUGUCGAUCAAGGGUACCGAUGGAUAUCAGAUUGAGACGUAUAUCAGGAAUAUGUCUCACAUCUUUCAACAUCAAUUGGCAGCCGAGAUUAGUUCUUAAGCAGAUAUCACCAAUUCCAAGAAUUUUGGAAUAGCUUUCAUUCCCCAUCUUCACUAUGCCAAAGUCACCUUCUUUGUAUGUACUGAAGAACUCCCGUUUGGACGUAGCAUGGAAGGAAGCUCCAUUAUCAAAGAUCCAUUCAAUGUCUCUGUCAGAGUUGCCCAUAUGCAGACAUUCACCAACAGACAAUAUUUCUGGUACAUCACCACAUAUGACAGCGGUGGUAUUGCCAGUAUCAUCUUUCUUCUGAUUGUUUCCUUCCCUUUGCUCUCUCUUCCAAACUCGACAAUUUUUCUUCAUAUGGCCUUCUUUGCCACAAUGGUGGCAUGCACCCCUGAACCUUGACUUGGAUCGGCUAGGACUCCUGCCAUGACCUCUAGGCCCUCUACUCUUGCUUCUUCCGCGAUUCUCUGUGACAAAUACUUGGCUGCUAUCUGUGCCAGAAGUCUUUUCUCCUUGUUUCUUCAUUGAGCAUGCUAUUUUUAACAUUAUCAAGAGUAAGAACACCAUUAGAAGCAGAGUUACUUAUACUCACCACAAAGGUCUCCCAACUGUCUGGCAAGGAUCCAAGUAACAAGAGCGCUUGUAGCUCGUCCUCGAUCGUCAUUUUCAUAGUAGCCAACUGGUUGAUGAUAUUCUGGAAAUUGUUCAAGUGUUCUGCUACACUUAAACCAUCCUUGUACUUCACAUUGAUGAGCUCUUUGAUCAAGAAGGCUUUCUUGGCUGGGGUCUUCUUCUCGAACAAGGACUCAAGCUUCGUCCAAAACUCGCGAGCAUUGGUUUCAUUAGACACAUGGUGAAAAACACUAUCAUCCACCCAUUGUCUAAUUGUGCCAAUAGCCUUGCGAUUCAUCUUCUUCCACUCGGCAUCGGACAUGCUCUCGGGCUUAGCGGCAUCUCCUUCAAUUGGCUCAUGCAAAUCCUUGCAAUAGAGAAUGUCAUUCAUCCUUGGCUUCCAUGUUACCCAAUUGGAGUUGGUGAGUUUGAUCAUAGUGCCACUUCCUUCCAUCUCGUAGUACGAGCCAACCGGGCUCUGAUACCAUUUGUUAGGAAUGUCGGUACUACAAGAUAGAGAAUGCACAAGGUAAAGUAGAAAAUGGACGCCAAGAAUUUAUGUGGUUCGGCAAUUUAUGCCUACGUCCACCAAACAAGGAAUCUUCACUAUAUGAAAAAGAUGAAUACAACAAGAGUAGUCUUACCAAGCCAAAGACAAGGCUUGAUGGAUACAAGAAAGUAUAACACACACUUUCUAUCACUCUAAACUUCACUCACACAAUGUGUAGUGGAACACUCUCACUCUCACUCUUGGAGUGGAACUCUAGCUUUGGACUUGAUCCUUUGCUACUCACUCUUAGUUCUCUAUUGGUUACAUCACACCCAUAUUUAUAGGUGAGGGCUUGGCAUUCUACUAGUUUCUAGUUCCUUCUUCAAACCUCUAGUAUAGAAAAAUCUAGACUAGCCACAAAAGUGUGGCUUCUAGAUCUUUCCAUUUGCAACCAAGGAAGCUAGUACUCUCUAGCUUCUUCCAUCAACUUAAUAACAUGCUAGAAUUGUCUAGCAUGCUCCAGCCAUCUCUCUUGCUUACUAGAAUAAUCUAGAACAUUGAUCAUGGGCUGGACCAUAUACCAACAACCUUGACUAUAAGCAAACAUGCCAUUGUCUCCGAGAUUAGGUCCACUUCGUUGAAUGUUAAUUAUUCUUUGGGUUUUGUUUUCUACAACUUACUUUUCUUUGUCGAUUUUUCUCAUCGUUAUCCGGAGUGCAAGAGGAUGAAUCGAAGUCCAUGCUUCUUAUUCAAUCCUCUAAAGGGGGAAGUUCUUCCGCUCCCAACAACUGAUAUCGUAAUUCCAGAGCGUCCUCAAACAUUUUUCCACUUCAAGGAAUGGUUUGCUAUGGGAUUUGACGAUGCAACCAACACGUACAAGAUUGUUCGUGUCUUUGAGCAUCUAUAUUCGUUAACAUUUAAGGUGAGGGCCCAAGUUUAUGUACUGGGCACAAGCUCAUGGCGAGAGAUACCCUCGAUUCCUCCUCGUAGGUUAGGCAAAACCAAUCAUGCAGCAUUUGCAAAUGGAGACCAACAUUGGUUGGUUUGCUUACCUGAUGGCCCAAUUCAUAUUUAUGGAGGAAAAUUCGGUAUAUGUUCCUUUGACUUCAAGAAAGAGGAAUUCUAUUGGACUCUUACUCCUCCCGAGCACAUGCAAAAGUAUGUUUGGCCCAUUGGUGUCCCAGAUCACCUUUACUUGCUUACUCUGAAAGGAUGUUAGGCCAUUGUGGACACUUCGUCAAAUGACUAUAUAGAGAUAUGGGUGUUGCACGAUUCUGAUAAGGAGUGGAAGCUAGAGUGGAAGAUAGAUGCUCCUUUACUCGGACGUAAGCUUGUUAAUGUUUCCUGUUGUGAAUGGGAGCAUGGCAUAUUCUUCACUAGACAAGAGUGUUAUAGAUAUUUUGGGCUUACAGUCUUUUUGAAUUUCAGAAGUGGCACCGUGAAUUGUGUAAAAUCAUGCCCACCUGAGACCAUCGACGAGGUUACAAGCAUCGUCAGUGUUACUGGGACUUUGAUUUCUCUAAAAAAUUAUGGGCAUUUGGUUGAACCCGAACCAACUACUGGAAUCAUCAGGUCCUUAAGACAUUAUGAUUCCCAAUCAUUGUCGAAUGCAGCUGCAAGCGGGAAGGAUUUCUUUUACUUGACAAGUAGCGUGAGGGGGCUGUAUGGUUGACGGUCUCAAUUUCUCUAAACUUUUAUUUCAUUUUCAUGUAUCUCAAUUUGAACAUUUUCCUUUCUUAUAUGUAUUUUAUUUUGAAUGACUUGUCAUGAUCUUGUUAUCACUUUUUAGCAGAAUACAUAUUUUCUCUAUUGUGAUAUCUCUGUCUCUAGAUUUAAGUUGGCUUACAAAACCGUGGUCUAAAAAUGAUGAUUACGUAUAAAUGUCAGUUUCCGACAACCCCGUCUGAGGUUCUUUCAGAACCUCUAUACUAUAUAUAAGCUGACUCAAUUGAGGCCAUUCCAUAUUCAACAAAUCAUAAACCAUCUUCUUUUGGUUUAAAGCUUUACAUGCUUGUUAUUUAGUUCUCGUUGGCAAGUUCAUGUACAAAGCAUCUGCCUGCGCUGUAAACCUAAACCUUGUGAGUGCAGACUGUUGAUCUGAAAGCUUUGGACUGGACCUUUGGUACAACAAGUUUAUGCAUGCUUGCGGUCUGAAUGUUCUCACUAGUUUUUUUUUUUUUUACUUUAAUAAAAAAUUACAUUUUUAUACUAAAAAGUUGAUCCUGAUACUAUUCACUUUAUCAUUUAUUUUAUUUUUAUCGUUAAAACUCAAAGUCCUAAUCCUUUUCAUUAGUUUUUUUUUCCUCUUGUAAACAAUGGGGGCUAAACACCCCGAAAAAAUGACUCAGAUCUCUGUCUAGAAAUACCAGAAAGAUUAUCCAUAUAUAAAGAUAGGGUAUGGCUCGGAUUAGCCGACGUUCAUAUUUCCUUAAAAUUGCCAAAUCACUUUGAGCAUCUCAAAAGCUUUAAGUGGUACUAUGUUUGUUUGGAUGAGAUAAAUAAACUUGGAAUUUAGAUUAAAGUAAAAAUUUAUAAAUUGACAUGCAUCAAUUCUCUUGUUUGGAUUCAUAAACAUAGAAAUAUAGAAUUUCCGCAUGGAAAAAAAACUUGAAAUUUGUGACCUCCAAUUCCCAAGUUUAAAUUCUAUGUAAAUAAUUAUCAUUUUCCAAUUUCUAUAAUUGAGAGUUUAAAAACAACAAAUUAUAUAUUCAAUUCUAUCGUUCUUUUAUGUUACCUAAACAAGAAAAUUCACAAAUUUUAUAAAAUAAAAUUUCAUCAUUUCAAUUUCUAUUAUUUUAAAAUUCCUUAGUACUCUUAAACUUGUUCAUUUAAACAUAGUGUAAGAUUUAAUAAGAAAAAGCCUAUAUGAUGAAAAUAAAUUUGCCUCACAUUCCAGUCACGGACAAAAUAUCUGGCGGUACCAGGAUUUAGUUCCCCUUCAAGAUCUUGCAGAUAUGUAAACCACAUUGAUUUGCCAGUCUUCCCAAUAAGCUUCUCGGACUCCUUGUUUGCAGCUUCCAAAUCAGCCUCGAGAGCUUUAACUGUCUCUUUGGUCCACCUCUCAUGUUCCAUAUUCUUUUUCAUUAAAAAAAAAAGAAAAAAAAAACUAUUUUAUGAGAUGUAUUCAAUUGAGAAUUUGAGAGAAUUUAGUGGAUUUAUAAAUCCAUGGAUUUUUGUGGAGUUUAAUUGAUUUGUAGAGAUUCCAUAUAAAAUUUUGAUUCAAUUCUCUCGAAAUCUCACGAGGAGAUGUGAGAUUUGUUGAUACUUAAAAUACACUACCAAAUAUCUCCAAAUCCUUUUAAUUCCUCAACUUUCUCAAAUUCUUUAAAAUCAAUUUUUAAUUGAAUACACCUGAAAUGUUAAACUUUUUUUAAAAUCCUAAUUGAAUACACUCGGAUUUCUAAGGAUUUUAAUAAACUAUCUUAAAAUUCUAAUUGAAUAGACCUUGAAUUUCAGAUAAUCAUUUAAAAUCUUAAUUGAAUAUCACUAGAUUCAUUAAAAGAAUUGAAAUCCCUUAAAAUCUCAAUUGAAUACAUUCUCCUUAAAUUAUUUUAAAACUUUAAGGGCAUUAUUUCAUUUUGAAGUUAACCGUUGCUUAAUAUUACUGUAUAUUAGUAUUCAUUUUUAAUUGUAAGUAAGAGGUUUUAGGUUCAAUUCUCGUAAAAAACGAAUUUGAAACACAUCAUUACUGGCCUAUUGUGAGGCUAAACCUACUCCUCUCCUUCCUUUUACUCCCAGUUUAUUGCCUCCACCAGUCCACCUCCACGACCAACCACCAUCAUAAAAUCAAAGAAUUGGUUUCUCAAGGUAAUUCCUAAACCCUAAUCUCAGUUAAUUUCGUGCUAUUCCUUCAUCACAAUUUCUUGAUUUCUGACCUUAGAAUUGCAUAACUUGUGUUCUGGAAUGUUUCUUGUAAUUGAAAAACCCGAUAACUUUCCGGUUAUAGAAUUCCGAUCUUGGUUUGUUUUUCUCGUUUUUCAGAGAGUUAUGUUGUGGGGUUUGGUCGUGAACUUUUUAUAUGUAAUACUGUAGCUUGGCAGCCAUGUUUGAUAAUUUUGAAUUCUGGUUUUAUUUUUGUUCAUCCACAACGAUCCUGGAAGAAGCAACAGAUAAGAGAGGAAAGGAGAGAAUGUGCACAAGAGUAGAAAUUUUUUAGUGUGCCGCUAACACGACCUUACACCAAGUUUCAAAACAAGGCGGGUAAGGAGAGUCUAGCAUUUCGCUUUUUUAUUUAUUUAUUUAUUUUAUUUUAAUAAUAGAAACGAUAUCGUUUUAAUAUCAAAUGAAAAGGAUAUACAAUUGGGAAAGGAAGAAAAACAUUAUCUCGCAUAUCCUCCCUGCAUCUAUCAUUCAGCUUAUUCUAAAAUGCGGAUUCCUUUAUCAUUUUCGAAACCAAAGUUGGGGCUGUUUUGAAUAGGUAGGCUUUAUUUAUUUAAAUUUUUUCGAUUUUUUUGUAUGUGUGUUUCCAAUUGCGAUUUGGGGUGGGAUUUAUAUAAUUGCUGUAAGUUUUUCUUUCCCUUGUGUGCUGCUGGCUGAGAUUAAAAGAAGAAAAAUGAUAAGUUUAUCUUUUUCAGCGAUGUGGUUUCUAAUCCGAUACGAUUUGACGUUUCUUUCAGAUUGAAAUUGAAAUAUGGAGAAGCUCAAGACCUUAAGACAGCCUUAGCACACAAGUCAGUGAUCAGCACCCAAAGAUAACAAAACAAAACUUGAGACAGAGAUCUUUGAUCUGAUCGGUGGGGUAAUGGAGAUGGCAAGGAGCCAGCAGAGAUUGAGGCCCUGCUGCAGGAAUGAUUCAAGGCUAAUGAAGCUACCCACCGAAAUCCUUGACAACAUCCAUUUGAGGCUGCCCAUAAUCUCUUUUUUUUGGCCUCCGAUGCGUCUCUAAGACCUCAAAGGGUAGAGUCGACUGCCCCAGUUUUUGUACACUGCACACGCAACGUUUACUGUCUGCGCAAGCUGCUUCAUCAUCUAUUUCUUCUAAUGCGUGUGGAUCACUUUUGCCUCUCUAAUUCUGGAUUUACCUUUAGACCAUUGCAAUUCAAAUUCAAUGGCAGCAACACCACCUUGACAUGGAGCGAACAUGCAGCUGUCUACGAGAUUAGAUCCACUUCCUUCAAUGCUUUUUAUUCUUUGGCUUCUGUUUUCUACAACUUGUUUUUCUUUCGGGAUUGCGCUUAUAAUUAUCCAGGGCGCAAGAGGAUGGAUAGCAGUCCAUGCUUCUUAUUCAAUCCUUUGAAGGGGGAAGUUCUUCCGCUCCCUACAACUGACAUCUUCAUUCCAAACUAUGAUACAAGAUAUUCCAUCAUCACGUUCGAGGAAUGGUUUGCUAUGGGGUUUGAUGAUGCAACCAACACUUACAAGAUUGUUCGUGUUUCCCGAGAUAAAAAAUCGAUGAUAUGUAAACUAGUGACCCAAAUUUAUGUAAUGGGCACAAGCUCGUGGCGAGAGAUACCCUCGGUUCCACCUUGUAAUUUAAGCGACAGCCGCGCAUUUGCAUACGGAGACCAGCAUUGGUUGGUUUGCUUUCCUGAUCCUUCACUUUCCAGUUAUGGAGGAGUAGUUAGUAUAUGUUCUUUCAACUUCAGAAAAAGAAGAGUUCUACUGGAGGACUAUUACUCUUCCCGAGCACAUGCACAAUAAGUAUGUUCGGUGCAUGAGGAUCCCACAACACCUUCAUUUGCUUAGUCUAAGAGGUUCGUUGGCCAUCGUGGGCACUUCAUCUGAUGACUGUAAUAUUGAGAUAUGGGUGUUGAAAAAUUAUGACAUGAAAGAGUGGAAUCUAGAUUACAAGAUAGAUAAGUCAGUACUCAAGCAAGUUUAGGAACUUGAUAUGUUGUGAAUGGGAGCAUGGCAUAUACUUCACUUACCCACGAUGUCAUGAAGUUUGUGAGAGCACAUUCGUUGUGGAUUUAAGAUGUGGUUCCGUGAAUCGCGUAGAAAUAUUUCCACCUAGAACCGACAUAGCAGGAAGAUUUCAAGCAUAUUGAGUUAUACUAGGACUUUGAUUUCCCUAAAAGAGUAUGGGAGUUUGGUUGAAGCUGAACCAACAACUACUGGAAGUAUUAGGUCUCUAGAACUUUAUGGUUCUAGAGAAAUCUGGGAUGAAGCUGCAAGAGGGAAGGUUUUCAUUUACUUGAAGAGUAGCGCUAAGCUCCCAUAUAGAUUUGAACGGAAAGAAGUUUCAAGAACAAUCAUUUUCUGAUUAUGUCGAUCGGUACAUAGCAUGAGUCGGAAAAUUAAUGAUAGCUUGGAGAUUUGUUGAACUUGUUGCAAUCAAGAUAGCAAAGCGUAUGCAGAAAACUAUCAAAACAGAGCACAAGGAUGCAAAAGUAACAGCAGAUGAUGUGAAAAGUAAUCUUUGGAUCUUUUUGAAAGUUGAUAUUGUCAACCCUUCCUUUGAUUCUCCAAAGGAAACUUUGACAACUCGUACACAAAAGUUGGCCAAAAUAUUUGAACUUCCGCAAGAUUUCCUAGACGAGGGUAAGCAAAUAGUAGACGGAGUAUAUACUAACCCUUUUUUCAGGUAUUUUUAUAGUGAAAACCCAACUCGCUACAAAAGGAGGGGUUCUGUUGGAAGAAUGCAUGCAAGUCAUAUCUUGUGUUAAAAUGCAUGUAUGAAAUAAACAUGUUGGAUGACUAGUGAAGUUAGGCUAGUCAACAUUCUUUGUGUAAAAUGCAUGCAUGAAAUAAACAUGUUGGAUGACUAGUGAAGUUAGGCUAGUCAACAUUCUUUGUGUAAAUUAGGCAAGUUAGGCAAGUUAGGCUUAUGUCUACUUUCUUUUCCUAUAUAUAUGUUUCAUUUGUAAUUGUUUCUUCAUGAAAUACACAUCAAAAAUUCUACAUGGUAUCAGAGCAGGUUCAUUUGUAACCUGUCUCUGCCAUUCUUGUUGCUGCAAUUUUUUCUUUCUUUCAAAGUCUAAGUCAUGACUGAAGAAAGUUCUGUGAACCAUGAUGAGGAAACCCGGCACAAUCUCUCUCCAAACUUCUCAGACGUUGAGGUUAACACCAAUCAACGUUUGUGUUCAGUUCUCUUAAACGAGUUCAAUUAUCUUCCUUGGUCCCGAGCUGUUUCACUAGCUCUCGGAGGCAAAGGGAAGUUAGGGUUUGUAAAUGGAAGCGUGGAAGCUCCAGACAGUUCUUCCUCUACAUACAAUGCAUGGCUCUGCAAAGAUCAACUUGUCAUGUCCUUACUGCUCAACACCAUGGAGAAACAUGUUGCUGAAAUUUUUUAGCUACUCCAAUUCCGCACAUGACCUUUGGAAAGCUUUGCAGGAUAUGUAUGGAAAUCAAAACAACUAUGCACGGGUCUUCCAAUUAAAGAAGGACAUUGCCAGUGCUCAACAAGAAGGGAAAACAUUUGUUCAACACCUUGGGAGCCUCAAAGCCAUGUGGAAUGAGUUGGAUGUAUAUCUCCCUCAUACCACAGAUCCUACCAUUCUCCUAAAACGAGCUGAGGAAGACAAAAUUUAUCAGCUGUUAGGGAGUUUGAGCUCUGAGUACGAGGACCUAAGGAGUCACAUCUUGAUGAGUCAAGACCUGCCUACCUUCAACAAUGUUUGUGCAACUAUCCAACGAGAAGAAGCAAGGAAGAAGGUUAUGAAUGUUGAUCACAAUCCUAGAUUAACGGAGACUCGGGCAUAUGCAUCAAAGUACAAGAACUCAGAAGCCAAGGUAUACAAGGGAAGAAACACACAUCUAAAAUGCAAAUAUUGCAAUGGUGUUGGUCAUGAGGAAGACAAGUGUUGGGAACUUCAUCCUGAACUCAAGCCUAAGUUCAGCAAAGAUGGAAGGAUGAUACCAAGGUCCUCACAACAAUUUCAACCUCAUUUCAAGGCACAACUUGCUAAUGCUCACGCUCCUACUAUCUCACAAGGAUCCAUGGAGUUCACUGCCAAUCCAUUGUCAUUAAUCAAUGAAUUUGCAACUUACCUACAAAGUAAGGGGCACGGAGGAGGCUCACAUGGUCAAGGCAAUGAAAAGGGUAGUCACACAGCUAUGUUGGGACAAUUUGCCGGAUUUCUUGCUGGAAAUGAGAAAGUUCCAAAGGGAGAAGCAUCAGGUAUACUCAAAGCCUUUACUACUGCCCUAUUAACUAGUACUGAAAUUGAUUGUUGGAUAAUUGAUUCAGGCGCCACAGAUCAUAUGACAAACAAAGUUACAAAUUUACAUCAUUUUAAAAAAAUUUCAAGCCCCUCACAUGUGUCUGUUGCAAAUGGAAAAAAUGUCUUAGUUUUGGGAAAAGGAGAAAUAAAUUUACUCUCUCAAAACACACCUUCCACUGCCCUCUAUGUACCAACCUUUCCCUUCCAACUUUUGUCAAUUGGAAAGAUCACCAACACCCUAAACUGCCGUGCUAUUUUCUCACCAAAUAAAGUAAUGUUUCAGGAUGUUCUCACCAUGAAGAUGAUUGGUGAAGGGGUCUUCAUAAAUGGACUUUACUACCUGUGCAAGAAUGCAUGUUUCACUCAGGCUCUUCAAGCUCAAUCGAAGUCCAUAGAUGAAAACCAACUUUGGCACAGGAGAUUAGCUCACCCCUCUGAACUUGUCUUGUCGAAACUGUUUCCAAAUUUUUGUAACCCAUAUCCUACUUGUGAUACUUGUCAAUUUUCUAAGUUUACUAGGCUACCUUUUGGUAAUUCAAUGUCUAGGACAAGUAAACCUUUUGAAAUGGUACACACCGAUGUAUGGGGACCUGCAACUGAAUCAAUGGAAGGUUUUAAAUAUUUUGUUCUAUUUGUUGAUGAUUUCUCUCGAACAAGUUUUCUAUAUCUUAUGAAAUCAAAAAGUGAAGUCCCUACCAUUUUCAAAGACUUUCACAUGCAUGUUAAAACACAAUUUCAAUCAAACAUUAAGGUUUUAAGGUCAGAUAAUGGCACUGAAUUUCUAUCCAACAACAUGCUUCAAUACAUAAGUUCUCAGGGUAUCAUACAUCAAACCAGCUGUGUGGGGACUCCCCAACAAAAAUGGAGUAGCCGAGAGGAAAAAUAGAGAUCUCUUUGGAAAAAACUCGUGCUCUCAUGAUUCACAUGCACGUUCCAAAGAAAUUUUGGUCGUUUGCCAUCCUUACUGCCACUUAUCUCAUCAAUCGACUUCCAAGUCGUGUGCUAGGGUUUAAAUCUCCCUAUGAAGUUCUCAAGGGGAGGAAAAUAGAUUUGACACAUCUCAAGGUGUUUGGUUGUGUGUGUUUUUGUUCACAUCCAAACCUUGAACCGUGACAAAACUAGAUGCCAGGGCAACCAAGUGUGUGUUUAUGGGAUACUCGACCACUCAAAAGGGAUACAAGUGAUUCAAUCCAGUCACUAAGAAGUGCACAGUUUCAAGAGAUGUGAAGUUCGAAGAAGACUAUCCCUAUUUUACAAGUCAGGGGGAGGAUUUAGUUGACAUGUUCCCACUCCCUCAAAACUUUAAUUAUCCGAUGUUGGAAAAGAGAUCAGUCAUUGUAAGUCCAGAUUGUGAAGAAGUUCAAACUGACCAAAUUACUGCCAGUGAGAGUGAAGACGAGCUCUACUCUGAUCCUUCUCCGCCCUCUACAGAAUCUCAGGUGAUUAAAAGAAAUCCUCCUCGAAUCAGAAAACCUCCAGCUAGGUUGCAGGACUAUGUUACAUAUGCCUCACGACAUCCAAUCAAUGAAUGUAUCAGCUUUAGUAAGUUCUCAACAUCUCAUGCUGCAUUUCUCAGUGAAAUUGAUAAGCACUAUGAACCAAGAAGCUUUCAAGAAGCUUCUCUUCUCCCACAAUGGAACCAAGCCAUGAAAGAAGAGAUUCGUGCACUGGAAGAGAAUUGCACCUGGAGCCUAGUUCAACUACCACCAGGAAAAAAAGGCUGUUGGAAGUCGUUGGAUUUACAAGACUAAAUUCAAAGCUGAUGGAUCUAUCGAGAGACACAAGGCUAGACUUGUUGCUCGAGGUUUCACCCAAACCUUUGGUGUAGAUUAUAAGGAAACAUUCGCACCGGUGGCCAAGAUGAACUCAGUCAGGGUUUUACUGUCAGUUGCAAUCAAUUGUGGAUGGUCACUCUACCAAAUGGACGUGAAUAAUGCUUUCCUUCACGGCGAGCUGCAGGAAGAAGUGUAUAUGCAACCUCCUCCAGGCUAUGAUGGUAUUAAAGGCAACAUGGUUUGUAAAUUGCACAAGGCAAUAUACGGAUUGAAACAAUCACCAAGAGCUUGGUAUGCCAAGCUCAGUUCUGUUCUGGAAAAGGCUGGAUUCAUGCGAAGUAAUGCUGAUUCUUCGUUAUUUGUAAGAACUGGCAUCAGGGGGAAGUUGGUGGUCCUCGUCUAUGUUGAUGAUCUUAUCAUCACUGGAGAUAAUACCGUGGAGAUUGAGGCACUAAAACUCUCACUACAUCAAGCUUUCGCUAUCAAAGAUUUGGGGAGGUUAAAGUAUUUUUUGGGGAUCGAAAUGGCAACAUCUUCAAAAGGACUGUUUCUACAUCAACGAAAAUAUGUAUUGGACCUCCUUCAAGAAGCAAAAUGCUUGACUGCAAGCCUGCUAUCACUCCCGUUGAUUGUAAACUGAAGCUCAGCAUAGAUGGAGAAGCCAUGCAUGAUGUAAGCUACUAUCAACGAUUAGUAGGCAAGCUCAUAUACCUCACUAUCACUCGUCCAGAUAUCACAUAUGCAGUGAGCUUGGCUAGUCAGUUCAUGCACUCUCCCACUGUUGAUCACCUUAACUUUGUUAAGAGAAUCCUUCGUUAUCUUAAGGGUUCAAUUGGGCAAGGAAUUACAAUGCAUAACAAUCAAUCCACUGUCAUUAGUGGCUACACAGAUGCAGACUGGGCAGGUAAUGCAAUUGAUAGGAAAUCAAUCACAGGCUAUUGUACAUUUGUUGGUGGAAAUCUUGUCACAUGGAAGAGUAAGAAGCAACAGGUAAUUGCUCGUUCCAGCGCAGAGGCUGAGUAUCGAGCCAUGGCAGCCACUGCAUGUGAACUCAUUUGGCUUAAAGGGCUUCUUUCAGACUUAGGGUUUCCUAGUUCUACUCCUAUGAUGCUUAUGUGUGAUAAUCAGGCAGCCAUGCACAUUGCUGCCAAUCCUGUGUUCCAUGAAAGAACCAAACAUAUUGAAGUGGAUUGUCAUUUCAUCAGAGCUCAAGUUCAAACGCAAAUCAUCCGGACCAUGUUCACACGAAGCCAUGAUCAACUAGCAGAUCUUUUUACAAAGGCACUAGCAUCAUCUCAGUUUCAUCGGUUAUUGGGCAAGCUUGGCUCAGUGAAUCCCCUCGAUCCAGCUUGAGGGGGAGUGUUGGAAGAAUGCAUGCAAGUCAUAUCUUGUGUUAAAAUGCAUGCAUGAAAUAAACAUGUUGGAUGACUAGUGAAGUUAGGCUAGUCAACAUUCUUUGUGUAAAAUGCAUGCAUGAAAUAAACAUGUUGGAUGACUAGUGAAGUUAGGCUAGUCAACAUUCUUUGUGUAAAUUAGGCAAGUUAGAAAAUUAGGCAAGUUAGGCUUAUGUCUACUUUCUUUUCCUAUAUAUAUGUUUCAUUUGUAAUUGUUUCUUCAUGAAAUACACAUCAAAAAUUCUACAGGUUCAAAUUUACAAAGCUCUCAAUCGUUAAGAUGUCUGCAAGGCUUGCAAGCUAAUAUUUAUUAACUAAUCACAAACACAUUUGUAGCGAGUUGGAUAAGGUCUAGGUGCGUGGUUGACAAAAUGAGGGGUUCGAAUCCCUCUAUGCGCAAGAUUGAGACUUUUCAGCAUUUUUAAGUAUUUUUGGGUUUCAUCUCACGAUAUUAUUGAUACUGUGGGAUUAAUCUUCACCCUGUCCAUUUUUAAGAUUGAGACUUUUCCAUUUGUUCUAACGUUUAAAAUAAUCUAUGGAUAUUAACUUAAAAAGAAUAAAAAUUUUAUUUUUAUUGACUAAAAAAUUAAAAAUUAAAAAGUUUAUUCUCCCACCCCAAAACUUAAAUCACACAUUAUCCUUAAGGUGUGAGAAAAUAAAUAAAUAAACAAAAAGAACAUCUAAAGCUAACUGACUAUAAGAAAAACGACAUAUUAAAAAAAAACAAAUAUAAAAUAAAAGAAAACUCAAAACAAUCUAAAAAUUAAAAUAAGAAAUGUACACACAUGGGUUGGAAAUGGACUCCAGUUGGGAAACAAACGUGGGGCCUGGAAGAAACACAUACACGGCCUAUGGAAGAUCAAUUCGUGGUAAAACCCAACCCGCAAAACAACUGCCCAGCCCACGCGAACCCAUGUGCACGGCACAUGUGUAUCAAAACCCUAGCACCGGUAGGAAUAAAACAUUGGAUUCCUCGUUUACUAUUCUCGAACCAAGGGCCGAACCCUCCCUCUUUUAAUUCAAAACACUCAUGUCAGAACAAACAUGGGAAACACCAGUCUUGGACACGUGGCAAGCAUCAGUGCAAUGCAUCCUUAGGAUUCCAAAUGAAAGGUCAGAUCUCUCUCCCAUUUCUGAAACCAACCCUCUCGCACAUUAUUUCAAGGACAAACGAUUGUUGUCCUUAUUUCAAAAACCGAAAGAGCCUCUUCAUUUCUGUCAUCCAUCUUUCUCCAAUGGAGAACCAUAGCUGCUCCUCCAUCUCAGUUCAACAGCAAUGUGGCACCGUUCUCUCUCUCAACCUCGCACAACGUAGCCUUCAUCCGUGAGCUUCCUUGCCAUUUGUUCUAGUGCUCUCGAGUCUGUUCCUGGAGAUCAUCUCGUUAGAGCCUGGUUACAGAACCCCAAAUCCCAAAGGUAAGAAUCUUUCAUGGCUGCCAUUGCGUUCCACUGGGUUUGUUGGCAUUGAAAAAUCAAAGAUCUAACACAUGCAUGCACUGUUGUGUUUCGAGAGUGAACGGAUCUAUAACAAGAGAGAUGCACCAACACCCAAAAGUUCACAAAUCCAUGGUUGAUCGCGAUUUUGGGGUUAGGCGACGGCGGGAGAGAUGGCGAGGGUUGUUGCAUCUGUGUCACUCAAAGUGGAUUGCGAGAGAGUGACAGUGCUGCGUUAUAGGGUAUGAGAGUUGGUUUCGAGAAAGUGAGGGGGCCGGAGUUGGGUUAAGGCUUGGGCUGGGUUUACGGAAUGGGGGAGGAGGGUGUGGAAUGUCAUGGAGAGGAAGGGAGAGGGAGGUCUGCCAAAAAACGUGGGUUGCAGAGCUACAACGAGGGAGAUGGGCGUGGAUUGGCAGGGAGGGGAAGGGAGAGGGAGGAGUGAGGCUUGCCAAACAGAGUGUUGGAUUGAUUUUUUCCUCCUCAAAUCAAGGGUUGGAGUCGGGAUUGCGGGGUGGGUCCAAAAUGGGUAUGGUUGUGAGGGAAAGAGCGAUGGCAGAGACAGAGGUCGUGGAGUUGGGCGUGGGAAUUCCAAAAAUCAAGGGCUGCUGUCAGUGGUUGUUAAUAUCAGCAAUGAGCAUGAUUGGGAUGUGAGUUCUCUAAACCUUUUGAUUAAUUUUUUAUAUUUUGGCUUUUUAUAUAAGCUAUGUAAAUGUUUAAUUUCCAUUUGAAAACUUGAGGAAUUCUAGGUGUAUUGUUUAUGGAAGAAGCUAAGUCUCAAACCCCUCAAACGAUCUCCCGAUCUCUUCUCCCCCGCCUGCAGCGAACUCCCUCCUCCCGACCCCGAGAGGUACCGCCGUUGCCUUUACUUUCUGUAAUUUUUGAGGUUCGUGAAAUUAUUGAGUUGAAGCAACUUGGAAACAGAAGCAAUUUGGAAUUUGGUAACCAAAGAGUUGUAUUUGGAACAUAAGCAAUUUCGAAAGAUAUGCAAUCUGGCAACUAAAUAACAGCAAAAUUUAACUUUAAAAACUUUUUCUUUCGGUAAUGUCAGCAUCCUAUAAUGCCUAUGUUUGGUUUGUGAGAAAAUUAAAAAUUAACAUAAACAAUCCAAAACUUACUUUUCUUCAUUUUUCUUAAAUUUCUCAGGAAACAAACAGAACCCACGGCUCUAUUUUUUCCAAAAAAAAAUAACAGAAAGAAAAAUAACUCACCCCAUGCAUGUGAAAAAUGGCAGAACAUGUAUCAAGUACAACACAUGGAAACCAAAAAAUCAACUAUAAAUUAAAUAACCCAUCAACAAAGCGAUCAACUCUUUAAACACACAACAAAUAACAAAGAUUAAACAAUUGAGAAGCAGAAAAUGCAAGGAUUGAACCUGCAAUUAGGUUUGUUCAGAGUAGAAACUCUUGAAAAAUAACAAAUUGAACCUCUAUUUAUAGCCACGAGGCGGAACAGUGAAAAGUACAUCCAACAUUUAACAGUUAAAUGACAUAUCCAAUCAACUGGAACAAUAGCCUCCGAAUUGAAAAGCCCAUCCACCCUUUGUCACUCUGCAAAAUUCCCUUAACCCACUCUAAUUGAAACCCGACAGAACACCCCCUCCCUCCAAAGCGUGUAUUACACAAAUGCCCACAACUUGUGGCCGUUGUAUGCGGAAUCAAGCAGGGAAAGUGGUAAUUUUACUACACUCACUCCCAGCUCAAGGCUAAAUGCUAAAUAACUCAAAUUUGAAGCAUUAUUCCACACCAAACAUGAAUAGAUAAAGGGACUUGCAAUUUGAAGUGUACAAAAACUAUAUAAUUACUGUGAUUUGUGUCUGUCGCUGAGGGUCACACAAACCUCUACCUUAUCAUUAACUUCCCAACUUAUUCUCCCAUAAUGAGUAGAUUUAGAGAGUUUGUGAAAAUUAAGUUUAGAAUAAAAAAGUUUUAUAUAGCAUCGACCUUGGAAUUGGCUGAGAAACUCUUGAUAUAUUGGUAGGCUGUAUAUAGUAGAUCUCAUCAUAAUUUAUAAAUGAUUUUGCUUGGACCGUCUUUCCAUUCAGCACGACCUUCAUAAUUAUAAGGCAACCGGCCAUAUCAAUCACUCGUUUUUUCAUCAAUGCAACAAUGUUGCUAUCAAGAUUUUUCAUGUUGUAUCUAGAAAAUCUAGUUUGAAUGUUAUUUUCGUCUCAUACUUGUGAUUCAUAGGGUUUCUCGUCACUUUAGGGUUCUCUGUCGAUGCAUAGUCUUUAGAGAACAUCUGAAAUUUGUUAGAAUCAAAUUAUUUAACUCAUUAAAAAGAAAAAUAGUACCCAAGGACGUUAAGAUAAGAACAUGCAAGAACCAAAUUCAUCUUAGCCACAUGAUUAUAUUAAAUCAAAUCAAACGGAUUAAAAUAUUUGCCAAAUUCGUCCUCACAGGAUCUUAAUUUGAGGUCAUUAGGUGAUAUUCAUGUUAAAACAAUUACCGUUUCAUUAAGCUCCUUGCCACUGACAUUGUGAACUCAUUGCAAAAACAAUUAAAUUUUGCUCCACCGACAUAGAUACUUCUAUUGUUACCACGGACGAAGUUCUUGCCGCUAAUAGUAAUUAAACUACCAUCCUCCUGUAUUUGAACUUUCAGUUUGCUGAGUGUCUUGGAUGCGACACUCACAAAGAUGUCGUGAAACAUCCAGUAGAGGUCGGGAGCACACGUGACAAGACGAUUGAUCAUCUCCUUCUUGUCGUAAACUUAUAAAGUUUGUGUCAGGUGGUUAGCCAAACCAUAGUUCCUUUUGUCUGUUCGUCGUUUGUUGUGUAAUCUGUGAAGGAAAUUGUAAGCGCGUAUUUGUGCUAGUGCGGUUGUUAUGGAUUCUUUGAGUUUGAUCUCUUUCUCCUGUUUGUGUAAAUAGUCAAGCUACUACCUAGCUAUCACAUUUCUUUCAUAAGCUAAAAGCUUAUUAGAAAACUGUCACAUGCUAAUCAAUACACACAUAUUACUUAAGGGGAGGGAUUCCUAUUUAAUAGGGACACGCUCCCCAUCGUUGGAUUUAACUUUAAUGAAAUUGUGUGGUUGAGAUUAAAACAUAGGUCACACAAUUUCAUUAAAAUUAAAUCCAACGGUGGGGAGCGUGUCCUCAUUUAAAAAAGAAUGAGGAUCCCUCCCCUUAAACAAUAUAUAUAUGUAUGUGUGUGUGGUCUAGUAACGCAAGAUGUGCAAUUUGAGCCUAUGUAAACAGGGAUCACAUGAUGCCAAACAAGCUUUUAGCUUAUGAAAGAAAUGUGGUAGCUAGGUAGUGGCUUGACUAUUUACACAUAAACGAGAGAGAUUAAACUCAAAGUAUUCAUAACAAUCGCACAAAUAUGCUCUUACGAUUUCCUGAAUAGAUUACACAACAAACGGCGAAAACAGAUAAGAGGAACUACAAGUUGGCUAAUCACUUGACCCAAACUUUAUGGGUUUAUGACAAGAAGGAGAUGAUAAAUCAUUUUGUCACGUAUGCUUCCGGUCUCUAUUGGAUGUUUCACGACAUCUUUUUGAGUGUUUCGUCCAAGACAUUCGGCAAACUGAAAAUUCAAAUACAGGAGGGUGGUAGCUUAAUUACUAUUAGCGGCAAGAACUUCGUCUGUGGUAACAACACAAGUAUCCAUGUCGAUGGAACAAAGUUUCAUUGUUUUUGCAAUGAGUUCACAAUGUCAGUGGCAAGGAGCUUCAUGAAACGGUAAUUGUUUUGACAUGAAUAUCACCUAAUGAUCUCAAAUUAAGAUCGUGUGAGGACGAAUUUGGCAAAUAUUUUAAUCCGUUUGAUUUGAUUUAAUAUAAUCAUGUGGCUAAGAUGAAUUUGGUUCUUGCAUGUCCUUAUCUUAACGUCCUUAGGUACUGUUUAUCUUUUUAAUGAGCUAAAUAGUUUGAUUCUUAACAAAUUUCAGGUGUUCUCUAAAGACUAUGCAUUGACAGAACCUUAAAGUGACGAGAAACCUUACAUGGAUCACAACAAUAACAUUCAGACUAGAUUGUUGUAGAUAUAACAUGAAAAAUCUUGAUAGCAACAUUGUUGCAUUGAUGAAAAAACAAGUGAUUGAUAUGGCCGGUUGCCUUAGAACUAUGACGGUCGUGCUAAAUGGAAAGGCGGUACAUGCAAAAUCAUUUAUAAAUUAUAUUGAUCUCUACUACAUACAAUCUACCAGUAUAUCAAGAGAUUCUCAGCCACUUCCAAUGUUGAUGCUAUAUGAAACUUUUUUAUUAUGAACUUGGUUUUCAUGAACUUUUUGUAAAUCCACUCAUGGUGACUGAAUAAGUUGGGAAGUUAAUGAUAAGGUGGAGGUUUGUGUGAUCCUCAGCAACCGACACAAAUCCCAUUAAUUAUAAAACUUUUGUACACAUGAAAUUGCAAGUCCCUUUAUCUAUUAUCUUUGGUGUGGAAUAAUGCUUCAAUUUUUGUCAUUUAGCCUUGAGCUGGGAGUGAGUAGUAAAAUUACUAUUUUGUAAUACGCGCUUUGGAGGGAGGGGGUGUUUCAAUCAGGGUGGGAUGAGGGAAUUUUAGAACCGUCAAUAAGAGUGAGUAGUAAAAUUACCCUUCCCCUGUUAAACCAUCAAUAACUGUUUACAGUGAUACUCUAAUAAAAACACAUUUAGAAUAAAUGAGAAGAACACAUGCAUAAUCUUUUUUUUUUAUAAAAAAAAAAACUAAUGAAAUGGGCGUUAGAUAUUAUUCCUGCUGGUUCAUGGAAGCAUUGAAAUUGUACUAACCUGCUUAAUCUUUUAUUUUUUUUAAUUAAUGUUAUGGGCGUCGUUAGUUGCUCUUAAAAAUAUUUUGUAGCUCAAACUGAUUACCCUAUAUUCUAAGGAAGUCUCGUUAUAUAUAAACGUAUUAGAUGAAGCUUAUACAUUGUGUCUUUAAAUUUGAAAAGAAAGAAAAUAUAAUAUGGAAAAGAGAGAAGUUUGAGAUAAAUGUGAGUUUUUAUUUAAAUUAGAGAUAUUAUAAUGACAUAUGGGUUAGGUUUGAAAUAAAAAAAUGCAAAAUGAUUUGUGCAUAAUUACAUUAUUGUUCAUAAUUUUAUUUUAUAAUAUAAAACCAAAUUGUCUUUUCACUUUUUUUAGAGUGUUUUGUUAAAAACAACCCAAAGUGACCACAAAAUACAUAUUAGAUGAGAACGUGUACACUAGCCAAGCUACUACCUACCACCUUUAUUUCAUAAAAGCUCAACAGAAAAAUUAUCACAUGCUACAUGAACAUUACAAGAGUAGGUGUUGUGCUAAUGGGGAAUCAUGCAUGCCUAUGUGAUUAAUGAUGAUGAUUUGCGUCUCAAUCUCUUGUGACAUUGGAAGACCCCAUCCAAACAUAGCAUAAAGUAAGUUAUAUACUUGGUCCAAUCCAAUGUACAUAAGUUUUGCUAUAUAUGAUAUGUUUUGGCCAAUUAGUCACGCAUGCCAGUACACUGUCACACAGACUAGCUGAAUACAACCGACUAAAUGACUAGGUUAGGAUGACCAAUUGAUCGCCUACUAGCAUCACUUAUCUACAAUUACUAAUACUAAUUGAGGAAAUAUUUCGUGUCAUGCGUAAAGGCUAUUAAUGGUAUUACUUAGUGAGAUAUUCAUUAAAGAUCAUCUCCACACACAAUAAAAAUAAUCAAGUCUUAUCUUACUAAAUGUGAUCUAUUAUAUGAAUUUUAGAACGUAAUUACGUUCGGUUUUGUGUCAAAUCUUCCGUCAGCUAGUCUAUAUCUUUCUUAUUGUCUUUGCAAGUCUUUCUAGAUCUUUCUCUAAUAUUUUUGCCAUGAACCUUCGUCUUAUAGUCGCAUCUUUUAAUCGGAGUAUCUGUAAGUCUUCAUGUGUCCAAAUUACCUUAACUGAUUUUCUCUCAUUUUAUCUUCAAUUGCAGUCACCUUCUACUUUACCCUGUAUAUACUUUAUAUGAUAAGAAUUAUCUAUAUGCACCCAUUAAUUUGCUAUUAGUUAUCAUAAUGGUAUUCGAGUCACUUACGAGCCAAGAAUAUGAUAAGAAUUAUCUAUAUGCACCCAUUAAUUUCAUCAUUUAUUACGUAUUUCGUAAUUUAAAUUCGUAUUUGCAAUUAUGUUGUCUUUAUUAGUUAAUUUUAAUUCUACUAAUUAUAAGUUUAGAAAUUGAUUAGUUAUCGAGAUGGAAGUUUCAUAAUCAAUUUUUAUCUUUCGUUGACAUUUCGAAGUUACAACUAGUGUUUUUAAAUAGAUCUUGAACCCAUGAACGCAUAGGCGAAAGCCGUUUGCGAGUUCGAAUUAUAACGGUAUAAUUACGGAUAUUUGAAGUUGUGAACUAUAGUUUGUGGGAAGCAUGGGUUAAAGGUUAAGUUAGUAAAGAAAAAAUAAUAAUAAAAUAAAAUGGAAGAGGGAACCUGCCAGAUUUUUAUUAAAAGGACAUGAAAGGGAACUAUUGGGAAAAAAAAAAGGAAAGGGAACUAUUGGGUAAAAAAAAAAGGAACGGCACAUAUCUCCCCCCCCCCCCCCCAAAUAUUUCAUGAAACCGUGAGUCCUCUAGCGAAAAACUGGCCAAUUCAGUCCAAUGCCUCCAUUUUUCCACCUCCUUCUCCUGCAACUUGCUCAAUUACCUUCCUUAUUCCCUCUCUACCAAAAAUUAAGGGUUUUUAAGGUUUAUUUCAUGUAGAACUCCAUAGGAGAACUCGGGGGUUCUCAACAACAAAUUGUUAUUUCGGAGAGUAUCAUCAUUCACCAUCACCCUAAAUCCACUUCCCUUGGACCCAAGAACAAGACCCAACUGGUGCUUGGGGCGUUGGAACACAAAUGAAGCCAAAUCGAAAAACACCCACCUUUGGUUUCGUUGGGUGCGAGCCAAUUUGAGGGCCUUCUUAGCCAAAUUGGACCCAGCCACAUGUAUAAAGUUUACUCUACUUGUUGAAAUCUUCAUUCUUGUAAAGUUUGAGAAUUUUUGGAAGAAAAAAAAAUUGAAUUUUCCGUUUUGUGACAUUCGAAUUAUGAAAAUGUUGUUGAGUGUAUAUUUUGUCAAUAAGGCUGCCACUUGAUUAGAGAAUAAUUGACAAUCUUAUCAUUGAAUUGAGGCAAGAUUUUAAUAGGCUAUUGUAGAUAUUGUUUAAUGACCUUAGGGAUUUAUAAGUGAAAAUCUAGUUAUUUGAUUUUACGAAGCAAUUGACGUAAGAUCAUGGACUCUACAUUAGAAUGACGGUUCAAUUCCUCAUUAAAUGUUGUGGGAGACAUAUGAGAAUGUUUGAGUUUGUGAUUUAUCGAAGGAAAUCUAAAUGAGGACUUGUGUUUUGUUAGGCGGUGACAAGAACGUGAUGCAUUGACUAUCGUGCUAGGGUACAUUAGCACGGACUAUAGGUGAGUGGUUAUAAUAUAUGUGAUAUUGUUAUUUACUAUGUUGUCAUAAUUAUGAUCCUGUGUGGAUAUGAAUUGGUUUUAUGAAUAUGUUCUAUUGAAUUGUUAUUCCAAUACUUCGACCUCAAAAGUAUGUUUAUGAAAUAGGGUGUGGCAUGUAUAUUAGAAUUGUGGUUUGAUUUGUAUGAUUGGCAUGUUGAGAUUAAUGUGAGGACUAGUAAUGACCGCUAAUCAUUAUGAUGGGAAUUCAUUACUUUGAUAUGGUUUCAUCUUCCGCUUCGGUGAUCGGUUCUAAAUUUAGUAAUGAUGCAUAAUCUUCUUUUGUUGAGUUUUGUAAAUUAAGUAGCAUGUGCUUGUCUCAUUUCUUUGAGCUGAUAUACUUUCUGAUUGUUGGUCUUCUACGAUUACGUUGAGUAAUUGUCCGAAAUCGUAUCCACUCGAAUUUCGUUGAGUAAUGGUCUGAAAUCCUUUUUAUUCUGUGAUUCCAUUGAGUGAUGUUUUAGAAUCGUAUCUAACUUGGGUUUCAUGUAGUUGUUAUGUUGAGUGAGGGUCCGGAAUCCCUCUUAUUUCAUGAUUCCGUUGAGUGAAGGUUCGGAAUCUUACUCACCUUAGAAUUUAUUGAAUUUGAAUAGAGAUGGAUUCAAAGCUUUAGACUUAGGCCAAAAUGUGUUGCUUAAACUUACUUUGCAUUGUGUUGUAUGGGAAGAUGGUUAUGAGAUGUUAUGAUUGGUGGCAGACGAACCGUUGGAUGUCUGGGUGACUCCUUCGGGGUUUACAAAAGUUAGUAUUGAUUUCUUAUGAAUGAUUUAUAUUUAAGAUAUGUAAACUGUGUUUGAUGGUUGGCAUUAGCAUUAUUAUCACAUACUUGAUAUUAUUGUAACUCUCCUAAGCUUCGCAACUUAUAUAGGUUGUUGUUUGCCUGGUGCACCAUUACGAUGGUGUAGGCACUGAGCGUACAGGUGACAGGUUUGAGUAGACUCCGAGAAGUGUGUAGGUGGGGUAGCAGUGCAGUUAUCAGAGACUUGGAGCGUUAGGUUACCCUUAUUCUACUCUUGUACUUUAUCUUUUGGGACUUUCUUUUGACCACCUCAUACUUGUUCUUAGUAAAGCUCAGAUUAUGCUUUUUUUUUUUUUGAUGUACAUAUUUGUAAAUAUUUUGCGGAGAACUUAGCCACCUUCGCAUUAUUUUAGGUUAUCAGUUAAAGUAUUUCAUUAUGUAGCUUAUACCGUAUUCAAAGAACAUUAUUUUCCUUGUCAUGUGUCGAUUUCAACGUAUGUUGGGAUCGGGACGUGACAACAAAAAACAUUGUCACACUCAUCUCUAAUUAUAUUGGAAGGUGGAAUUUAAAGUCACUCACACUCAUAAAUAUGCACAAAUUGACAUAUUUAUGUUUAUUUUGAUUAAUUAAUAAAUAUCAACCAAUCGUUUCUUGUAAGAAAAGAAAGAAAGAUACCUACCAAAUUUCAAAAAAAUCAAAGUGAUGUAACCGUAUUAUAAUGGCUAGGAUAGGCUUUAGUAGGCUAGCUAGUCAGUCAUGCGGUUAUUGCAAUGAUGUGCUAGCUUGUGGGCUCGUUUUGGAUAUUUUAUGAAUAUCUCUUUUGACAAGAAGAAACGUAUGCUAGCUAGUAAAUUAUGCGGUUAUGCAAUGAUGCGAGAAUGCAAAUGCUUCCCUUCGUUCAUUAAAAAUGCUAAGGAGAAUCUUUUGAAUGAGAUUCUCUCUGCUGUGUAAUAACUUAACGUCAAUUUCUGUAUCAAUAUUAUAAAAUAUUGUAUAAAAAUAUAAGAUGACAAAGAAGAAUUGAUGUGCUUAUUUUUAAAACAGUUUUUGUUGUACAUUAAAAAAAACAUUGCUGGACAAUUAACAUGAUUCCUGCUAAAGCCAAUGUAGUUGCUCUUGGUUUGACUCUUCCCCCCGCCCCCAACCUUUUUUUUUCCUCUACAGAAUUGUUCAUUUUGAAAAGUAUAUCCUUCUAAUUGGAGUAUGAUUCUCUUCCCUCAUAAUCUCUCUUCCCUUCCAUCCCCUUCUAUUUAAACGGUUACGAUUACGCCACGUUUACAUCUUGUUUUGAAUUUUUUUACAUAGAGAAUAAGACAAAAAAAAAAGAGUGAGAGGAGGGGAUGGAAGAUGAUGGAAAUAGAAGUGGAGAUAAUCCUACUCGAGGAGUGCCCUCUCUUACUAGUCUCCUUCAUUCCAUAUUUUGUAGAAAAAUUACUCACUCGUUAAUACCAAGAACCCAUUAAAUAAUUUGCCAAAAAUUAAAACUAAAACUGAUGCAUACAUGAUGCUGAUGAGAUAGAAAGAUUAAAGAGCAUCCAUGACUUUAGAAAUGGUGAGAGAAUUAACUUUUUGUCUACAAAGAGUAAUGAACGGAAGAAACUUGAACGAUAUCGGCGCCUAUGAAGAAUAUUUUUAGAAAAGAGUAUUCUAGUCCUUUACAUGAGUAUUUUUAAUAUUGAAUAAUACUUUUAGAAAAGAAAACAAAUUACAGGUGUCAAACCAAGGAUCAACCACACUUAACUUUUUAGCAUGAAUUGCUGCUAAUUGUUCAGCAACUAAGUUUUUCUUUUAAGAAUAAUUAGUUACAAAAUAAAGUAAUAAACUGUAUUUCUGAAACUAUUGUAAGUAUGAAAAACAGGAUAAAGGCUUUUAGUAAAUAUUAAUAUAAAAAUGCUAUAACUCUGUAAAAUGACAAAAAUAGGUAUGUAAAAAAUAUUUUUCUAUUUAACAUUUUGUUAAAAAGAUGACUUUCAACUGUAUCUAAUCAUUUUCCUUCAAAUUAUUGUAACAUUUGUAGUUUGCAUUCACAAAAGUCCUUUAAAGAAAACAAAUAUAAACUAAUAAUUUUUUUUCUCAAUGUCUUUAAACAACAAUAACAUAUAAUAAGCAUAUACAAAAAAAAAAAAAAUUAAGAACACAUUACAACAAUGUUCAAUGUCUCUAUUUCUUGUGCUUUAGUGGGUAAAACAUAAGGGGUAUUCUAGGCCUAUAAAUAUUUAUCAAACAUAUUUUAGUGCUUCUCUUUGAAUUGUUGAAUACAUAGAUACUUUUAUACUAAGAGGAGGGGAAGUUCGGCUAAGUCAUACAAUGGACAACCUAAUUUGAUAUCGAAUUCGCCAUCCACGAGAUUCAAACCUAAGAUCUCUCACUUCCAAGUGAAGAAGAAUACCACCAGACCGUAGUACUGAAUGACUUCUCUUUAAAUUGAAGCAGCUUUUUAAUGGAGAAAAAUAAUACCAAACAGAGUCUUAGGUAUGCGACUUUUAUGAUUCAAGCAAACAUCGGUUUGGAGUUCACGGAUAAAUUGUCUCCAUACAGUAUUAAUCCAUUUCUAAAAAGCAAUGUAUAUGUCUAUCACGCGACACAUUAAAAUUACUAUGUAAAGCACAAUAAAUAUUUGAUGUACAUGAGAGAUGGCACUUAAUUAUUCGAUUUAUUGUCUCAUUCUUUUCAAAUGUACCGUAGCUUAGGUGUACAAGUUGAAAUUCCGAUUUUAGAAGUAAAAUUUUUGCAUGCGAAUCCGAAAUUUCAAAUUCGGAUAUUUUUUUUAAAAAUAAAAUGCAUACAAGAAUUAUGAUGGUUCUAAUCCAAAUUUUUCCAUAAGUGUUCCAAACUCACGGCUGUUUGUACCAUGAAAACAAAUUGUGUCGAAUUAAGAUUUGUUCAAACUCAAAAUGUUGAGAAACAAGCUCUGCGAAUUUACAGACCCGCUCGAUAACUAUUUUGUUUUUAAAUUUUAAACCAUUAUUCAGUUAGAAACAGAGGAAAAUGUUGGGGAGAUGAGGAAACCAUAGCCAAUUUAUUGCCUUUUGCGAUCAAAAUUGCAAACAUAAUGAAAGAAUCAACCUCUCAACCUCUAGUCAACAGAUUCACACAAUAUAAAACGUAGGCAUAGAAUACAUCAAAACACAAGGAGACCAGACCAGAAAUGCUACAAUAAUUUGUCAACGAACAACCCUCCCGAACCUCAGGCACCAACAAAAACGACCCUCACAAACAGCAAUCGCCUACACUCCUCUCUGACUCAAAAUUGCUUUAAUAAUUAACACUUGCAUGUACACAUCUUACCAAAAGGAGUAUACCAUCAAAUCGCAAUGAUGACUUCUACGCUUUGCAUAACCAAUUGCAAUGAUGACUUCCACGCUUUGUAAAACCAACCGAGGGGAACCAUCUUGAGGAAAAGAAUUGGUGACACAAUUACCACACGAGAGGAUCUGUGUAUCCGAAAGCAGAAAUAUGCACAAUCCAAGCCACAAUACUUAUGAGGAGAGGAUAGAUUGCAGUGCAAGCUGUUGCUGAGGUUGCAAGGAGGACCACGUUGAGGCCAAUGUAGCUGGCGGCAAAGUCUGCUGAAGC
This 69178-nucleotide long non-coding RNA is filed under the name Malus domestica (apple). Its description in RNAcentral is "long non-coding RNA (MDOM_LNC009801)". Lineage: Eukaryota; Viridiplantae; Streptophyta; Magnoliopsida; Rosales; Rosaceae. The record is from RNAcentral.